Molecule: long non-coding RNA, 56335 nt
Filed under: Carica papaya (papaya)
Lineage: Eukaryota; Viridiplantae; Streptophyta; Magnoliopsida; Brassicales; Caricaceae
Description: long non-coding RNA (CPAP_LNC012118)
Rfam family: tRNA (bases 54520-54601)
Source: RNAcentral
CUCCAAUUAUCACUAAUUAAAAUUUAGACAGAUCUAAACCAUAAAAAUAUCUAUUUGGUCCGUUAUUAACUUUUGCUAAUUAAAUCAAAUAUCAGUUUAGGCCAAGGUUUCAUCUUCCUCCUGGACGCAUGGUUAACAAGAGAGAGAUAAUAAUGGAGAUAUAACGUAAACAAGUAGUUUGAAAAGAAAUUAAAAGCCCAAAAGGGACCAAAAUUACAAAAGCCCUCUUCUUCGUCUUCUUCUUCUUCGCGCAAACCCAAGCCCACUACUCGCAGAAGAGAGAGGGAGAGAGAGAGAAAGGUCCUCGCUCGCAUAGUGCCUUCGAAGACAGAGAGACGAAAAAAAAUUGAAAUGCAAAAAAAAUUAUAGAGAGAGGGGGACGGGGAAUUAAAAACAAAAUUCGAGAGAGAGAGAGAGAAAGAGAGAAAGAGAGAGAGAGAGAGAGAGACUCGACGCACGCGUUCAUGGAUUCCAUUCGCGGGGAGGGUUCAGGUUCUAGGUCAAAAUUUGUGUAGUUUUGAUUGGGUGACCGUGGGGGAGUUCGUUAUUCUAAACCCUAGGUGUGAGAGAGAGAGGGAACUGAAAACUGAUUUCAGGUGCUUCAGUGUCGUGCCCUAGCUCCCAAAUUUUUGGCUUUGCUUUGGUUUCAGGUAUUUUUGGCUUAAUUUUCCUUUUUCUAUGUGUUCUUGAAAACCCUAGAAUCGAGUAAUGCUUGUAUUUAUGCAAAUUGUGAUGAUUGUACGCGUUUAGGUUUAGUUUGAGGGCCCAAUGUAGACGAAUAUGCUCGUGCUAUCAUUUUCUCAUCCAUUUUGAUUGAAUGCUUGAGGAUUGCGCGUUGGCUUGUGUUAUCCAGUACUUAUUUCAUUUAAAAUGAGAGUAACUGUUGGAAACUUAAGUGGCAUGUGCAUUUAACUGCUUAUCUACACAUUGUAAACUUUCACUAGAUGUUUCCUAAGUGCUCCUUAGAGGAAUUAAUAAGAAUUGUUGGUUUUGAGCUUCUCAACGAGUUCUGGAUGCAUGUAGAUAUCUACAUGUGGUAUAAAAUCCCAGUUACGUCGUUAUUAGUUAUUAAUAAUUUGAUAAUGCACAAUGCAUUUCCUUUGUUGAACUUUUAACUGCUCCUGCACUAGAUUGCCAUCUUUAUUCACCACAUUCAUUUGGCUACUAAAAUUACUAGUUUAACUAUAUUUGUUAGGUUUGCGACUAACAUAAUUAGACGAUUGAGCUGAAUUUUACCAAUUUAAUCUCCUAAGAUCACGGUUGGCAGCUGGAGCUUUUGAAAUUGUAAUGGGUAUUUAUAGCGGAUUUGGUAUCUUAGUAAAACAGAUUAAACAGAAGUAGGUGAAAGAAUAGGAUGUCAAAGUUCAUUUUAGGCAGUAUUAUUUAAUCUUCUUGAAUAUUUUUUACAUAGUUUGGCGAUGUGUAAUUCAGUCAUAUUUUAACGUGAAUGUUUUUUUCUUUUUUUUGGGAUAAGUAACAGUGACUAGUUGCUAUAAGUAUGGAAGCGCAUUGUUGCAUGAUGAGUUUUCGUUUCUCUUUGUCAUAGCAAAUACCAUUUAUGUAUUUAGUUCGGUUUUGCUGCCUUUAUUACGUUAACCACAUUUACGAUAUGGUGGCAAUCAUUUAGUUUUUAGUAAUUUUAGACAUCUAAAUGUUGUGGUUGCUGAGAAUUAAAAUUGAUGCUGGCGUAUUGUUGUAAAUGGAGAAUGUUUUCUGCUUAGACUGAAAUGUUUUAGUGCCUUUUCUUUCUGAUUUGGGAAACUUGCUUUACUACCCUUUACUGAAUAAUCAUACUNNNNNNNNNNNNNNNNNNNNNNNNNNNNNNNNNNNNNNNNNNNNNNNNNNNNNNNNNNNNNNNNNNNNNNNNNNNNNNNNNNNNNNNNNNNNNNNNNNNNNNNNNNNNNNNNNNNNNNNNNNNNNNNNNNNNNNNNNNNNNNNNNNNNNNNNNNNNNNNNNNNNNNNNNNNNNNNNNNNNNNNNNNNNNNNNNNNNNNNNNNNNNNNNNNNNNNNNNNNNNNNNNNNNNNNNNNNNNNNNNNNNNNNNNNNNNNNNNNNNNNNNNNNNNNNNNNNNNNNNNNNNNNNNNNNNNNNNNNNNNNNNNNNNNNNNNNNNNNNNNNNNNNNNNNNNNNNNNNNNNNNNNNNNNNNNNNNNNNNNNNNNNNNNNNNNNNNNNNNNNNNNNNNNNNNNNNNNNNNNNNNNNNNNNNNNNNNNNNNNNNNNNNNNNNNNNNNNNNNNNNNNNNNNNNNNNNNNNNNNNNNNNNNNNNNNNNNNNNNNNNNNNNNNNNNNNNNNNNNNNNNNNNNNNNNNNNNNNNNNNNNNNNNNNNNNNNNNNNNNNNNNNNNNNNNNNNNNNNNNNNNNNNNNNNNNNNNNNNNNNNNNNNNNNNNNNNNNNNNNNNNNNNNNNNNNNNNNNNNNNNNNNNNNNNNNNNNNNNNNNNNNNNNNNNNNNNNNNNNNNNNNNNNNNNNNNNNNNNNNNNNNNNNNNNNNNNNNNNNNNNNNNNNNNNNNNNNNUUUAUUUAUUAUUAUUUUUUCUUCUGUAUGAACUGGCUAAUCUUCCCCUUAUACUUUAUCACAGUGAAGCAAAAGGUAGUUUUGCCUUGACAGCCUCACCUCAUGGUGAUUCUGUUGAGAGUAGUGGUAGACCUGGGGUGCUUACAGUUUGUGAACCCAAUAGUGCUGAUAAUCUCUUGCUUUUCAAUGGUGAAAAUGAGUUGCUUGAGGGGGGAAGAAAUUCUAUACAUCUUAGUAGGAGAAAUAGAAUCGCAAAAUCAGAACUGUCUUCUCAGUUGGAUGGCACACAAAAUGCCAAGGAAUCAGAAGAUUCUGCAAUUGUUCGCCCAUAUGCUCGUCGGAAUCGAUCCAAGAUAAAUCGUGAUGCUGCACGAUCAAGUUCAACAGAUAUAAAUCAGACUCGUGGCAGUCACGGUUCUUCUUUACCAGGUCGUGGGGGGACGAGGGAUGCACGGGGUUUAGCAUCUGAAACAACCAGUCAGAAGGACCAGAAUUUACCCUCUGCGUCUAACCUUAACUCUGCAACUUCAAACGGGGAUAUAAAUCCAAAAGUUAUAUUUUCUGAUAACAAGUUGAAUAUAGAGUUGGAUGGAUUGCCAUCUGUGACAGAGACUCCCAGCCUGACCAAAGCUUGUCUAUCCAAAAACAAUAUGGAUGUUACAGCUUCCAAAAGCUGGGCAGAUAACCAGCAUGAUAAAAUUUCACGUAUUGGUGCUCGGCAAGAUUCAUUUGACAUGGCUUCUAGGGAAUCUGUUCUUGAUGGAAGAAGAGAACAGGCAGCUUCAGCUGGUCCUGGAUUCCCACUUUGUGAAGCUGCUGUAAGAGCUGAGAAAGAGGGUAGUUCUGACCAGCUGGGCAGGUGUGAAGAGACUAAAGGAGAUAGAAAAAGCUUAGUUAAUGAUGGUCAAAGUAGCAAUUCAGCAGUUGGUACAAAGAGAUUAGUUCCGGAUUCCUCUUGUGCUCGUAACAGCCUAGGUGUAGGUGUAAAUAAUGAUAAUGAUGUAUCUAUUAAUCUGAAAAAUUCUGAUCCUAACGGGAUUCCUAUGAAUAAGUCAUCAGUAGUAGAAGGGACACCAAAUUUAACCAGUGGUGAAAUAGUAAAUGAAAAGAAUGAGGUCAAGGCUAUUGACAGCCAUUCUUUUGCCAAUGACGGCAAUACUUCUAUUUAUGAAAACCACACUGGCAAUGGUUCUGUUGUCUAAGUAGAAUGUGACACUCAGAGUGCCUUACCUGAUUUACCAGAUGAGGCAAAUUGUUCUUCCAACGUGAAGGUAGUGCGACAAAAUCAAUAUAGUCGGCAGGAAACUGAUGGAAAAGGUUGUGGUUCAUUGGUAUCAUCAUGGAACACCAAGGAAAAGUUAUGCACUGGCAUUCCUGGAGGCAUGGUCAACACUGGUACUCAUGAUAUUCCCAAGGCCACUUUAACUGGAGCAAAUUCUGCUGCUGCUGACCCCAAACUUGUUUCAAGUAAUGCCUUGAAAUUAGCGGAUAAGGCUCAUGAAGAUUCUAUUUUGGAAGAGGCACGGAUUAUAGAGGUUAUUUCUUGAUUUUUCUUUCAGUUUAUGACCUUGUAUAUGUAAAACGUGGAAGGAAUUCCAUCUUCCUUUUAAAAGUUUCAACAUUCUGAUAGAACAUAGUAACAGGCUAAGCGGAAGAGAAUUGCUGAGUUAUCUGUUGGUAAUUUACCUUUGGAGAAUCAUAGAAAAUCUCACUGGGAUUUCGUCCUUGAGGAAAUGGCUUGGCUGGCAAAUGAUUUUGCACAGGUCUGGGUCAAUCAAUACACCAUUCAAUCAAAACUUUGUAAUGCAAAUCUUUUACUUCUUUAAGUAUGUUUUCCUUUCAUGUAUUUGGAAUUAAGAAUUAUAUUUUAUAUGGAAUUUACGAUAUCUUUUCUUAUAGGAGCGUCUCUGGAAAAUGACUGCUGCUGCUCAAAUAUGCCGUCGGGUCGCUUUUACUUCUCGGUCCAGAUUUGAAAGACAGAGUCAGCAUUGGAAGCUCAAAAAGGUAGCUUUUGUGCUGGCUGACGCUGUGAUGCAGUUCUGGCAUUCAGCAGAGGUGCUUCUAAAUAAUGCGGAUCCAAAUAUUCGUACAAAAGACUGUCGACAUAAGUUGGUUGGUGGAAAUGAAGCUUCUGAUAGCAAGGUUAAAAUAUUUAUAUGCUGUUAGUCAUGCUUUGAAUUUUCUUUUUCAUUUUUAAUCAUGAGAAGGCCAUGUGUUCUUUCUUGUUUUCUUUUGGUGGUUUUUAUUGGGAAUGGUUAAUAUUCGUAUCCCAUUGUUUUUUUUUUUCUUAAACCUUUUUCCCCCAUUUUUCUCUUUAACUUUAUUAUUUUUGUUCAGCCUGAUUUAGAUAUAGUUCCUGUCCAAUAAAUCAAAGCAUGUUGCAUUCUGUUGACCUCAAUUCUUUGACAUUUAAUUAAAGAUUCUGAAGGUCCUUGAGCUUUUAUAAUUUGAUUUGGACUUUUUUACUCUCCCAUAAUUUGGAUAAUAUGAUCAUCUUUCUGUUAGCUAAUAGGUUCACUUGGUCUAGGUUCUGGUUGCAUUCAUGUUUUAGGACUUUGUUGUUCACAUUUCUUUUCUUGGAAACUCAUAAUUGUCUGCUAUUUAUAGUGACUAAUCUGUUGUUAAUUUAUGUUUUGGUUACAAGCAGGAGAAAAGCAAAGUGCUCAAGCUACAUAACCCUGGGAAGAAUACUGUUCUUGAUAUUCGGGAAUAUGCAUUAAGAUUUUUGAAAUAUAACAGGACUGCUGUUCCUCAUCUCCAAGCAGAAGCACCAAAAACUCCUGAUAGGAUAUCUGAUUCUGGUAUAAUGGAUGUGUCUUGGGAUGAUCAUCUCACAGAAGUAUGCACUGUGUCUCUUUCCCAGCCAUUUGAUUCACUUUAUUUGUUAAUGUUUGCUACACUUCCUUGUCUUUCUGUUGGGAGUCAACAGAGUGAUUCAAGAUGUUAUCAGAAGAGAACUUAUUUGUAAUUGUUUAUUUUAUGUUUUGCUCAUAGAGGCAACACUCGUAUAUUACAUCCUCUGUAUUUUCCAGUAUUCAUGAUUGUGCUGCAGCAUUCAGUACUGAGUGAGUUUGUAUUUUUCAGGAAAGCCUCUUCUAUGCAGUUCCCUUGGGUGCAAUUGAAAUCUAUAGAAAAUCGAUCGAAUCUCAUGUAGUACAGUUUGAGGUAAAUAAUUUUUUUUUUCUACUUAAUUGUGGUGGAAUAUUUUUUCUCUGUGCAUGUUUUUACCAGCAUGGUAAAUUUAUGGGUAUUAGAAGAAUGGAACACUGGGAAACGAUCUCUACUGAUGAUAACAUUGCUAGAUAAACUAGGCUGACAAGCCCUUGCAUUUUUUCCCACCACUGUAGAUACUAUUUUUCUGGUCAUUCUCAUUCUCCAUUUCAGAGUUAUUAGUUUAUCCCAGUGCAUUCUCUUGCUUCCAACUGUACAUAUUCUCAAACUUGAUUGCUCAAGUACUUCAGAUAUUUCAGCUUAUUUAUUUAAUCUUUAGUUUCUCUUUUCCCAGAAAUCUGGAAGUAGCGUGCAAGAAGAGGUUGAGACCUCGAUGUAUGAUGUUGCUGCAGGUAGUCUUAAUGCUAUUUUGGUAUGAGUUUUAUGUUUGUUGACUUUUUGUGUUAUUUACUGGAUCCAUUUAACUGUAGAGUUUGGAUAUAAUGAGAGUGUAUAUGAGGAGGAUGAAGGGGAAACGAGUACUUAUUAUUUAGGUGGAGGCUUUGAUGGUAACAAAUCAUCAAAAUUCACUCAGAAGAAGCGGAAGAACUUAAUGAAAUCACACAAUGUCAGAUCCUACGAACUUGGAGCUGAUGUUCCUUAUGGCAACUACUCAAAUGGGUCUCACCAAUCUAUGCUAUUGGGAAAAAGGCCUGCAAAUAGUCUUAAUGUCGGUUACAUUCCAACAAAACGCAUACGCACUGCAUCCAGACAGAGAGUUGUUAGUACUUUUGGUGCUGGAGCUGCCGGAAGUUUACAGGUUCCUGCAAAGACAGAUGCCUCAAGUGGAGAUACUAAUUCCUUUCAGGAUGACCAGAGUACCUUGCAUGGUGGAUUUCAUAUUCAGAAAAGUAUGGAGGUUGAGUCAGCUGGGGAGUUCGAAAAACAGUUACCGUAUGAUUGUGCAGAAACAUCAGCUAAACCUAAGAAGAAAAAGAAGCCCAAGCAUCUGGUAUCCAGGACUUUUGUUUAUGUUCCAACUUGCAUUUGGGACUUGUCUAUGGCUUGUAUAUGUUUUUCUCAUACCUCCUCUGUUAAGUUGCUUGAACUCUUUUGGUUGCAGGCUUCUGCAUUUGAUCAGGGUUGGCAGCUUGAUUCAAAUGUCCAUAAUGAACAGGUUUCUACUCUUUUAUAUAGUGAGAUAGUUGUUUACCAUGAUAAUUUGUUCUAUCCCCUUCCUUCCAACCUGCCCUUUAAAUGGUUGUAUAUUUGUACUCCUAAUUUCAGCUUGAUAAUGUCUUUUCUUAUGAGAACACUGCUUGGGAGUUAUUUCUAGUGUUUGAUUAUUUUUGACUUUUCAAUGCCUUAAAAACAAGGAUAGUGCAACAAGCAAUACUGUAGCCGAGUGAAUUUUUAGAGUUGAAAAAAAUGUGUAGAGAGCGAGUGCGACAAAGAAAUGAGUGCAUUGAGAGAAUUAUAAUAAUUGGUUAAAACAUACAACAGUUGGCUGUUUCUUCACUCUGGAUGACCCAUGGCAGUUUCAAAGCAAUUCAAAAGGGGAGAAAUUUUUCUGAGAGAAUUAUAAUAAAAUAUAUAACAGUUGUCUGUUGCUUCAGUCUGGAUGAACCAUGCGGUUUGAAAGCAAUUCUAAAGAGGAGAGAUGCUUGAGUCAUAUUUUCCGGGAAAGAAGUUGGGUGGUUGAAAAGUUGAUAAGGUCUCUUAUCUGGUCAGAAUUGAUAUUAAGAGUGUUUGUGCAAGUAUGCAUGUAGUUGAUGGAUCCAUCUCGGAUGUUUCUUAGCUUUACAGGAUAAAUAUUGCUCUAUUGGUAAUCAAGUCUUUAUCCUUCUCUUGUUUUGCAGAGGGAUCAUUUGAAAAAGAGAUUGGAGAAUCAUCAUUUUGAAUCAAAUGGUACCAGUGUUAAUAAAGCCCCUUUUUGCCAAUGUUUGUUUUUAAUAAUUAGUUUGAGAGAUACAUAUUUGUUUCAUUGUUAUCCAUGACAUGUUUGAUUGUCGUUGUGUCUUUAAGGCUUGUAUGGACAGCAUAAUUUGAAGAAGCCAAAGAUAAUGAAGCAAUCACAUGAAAAUACUUUUGAUAACAUUACUCCAAUUACUGGGUCCAUUCCUUCUCCAGUAGCAUCCCAAAUGAGUAAUAUGUCCAACCCAAAUAAAAUUAUAAAAUUUAUUGCUGGCCGGGAUAAGGGCAGAAAAGCUAAAGCGCUGAAGGUAUCUUUUGCUGGUGGCCUACUUUUCUUCACUUAUUUAAAUAAAUUUAUUCUAGAAACUUCAGCCUUUAUCCUUUCUGCAGAUUUCUACUAGCCAGCCAGGCUCUGGAAGCCCGUGGUCAAUAUUUGAAGAUCAGGUAUCUUUAUCUUUUCUAUUGUCAAUGGGUUCUUUCUUUGGUGCUGUUGUAGUUAUGGCUAAGAACCUGAAGUUCUUGUUGUUAUUUUUUAGGCUCUUAUUGUUCUUGUGCAUGAUAUGGGUCCAAAUUGGGAGCUUGUAAGCGAUGCCAUAAACAGCACCAUUCAAUUUAAGGUUAGUAUAUGUGGUUGAAAUUUCUUUUCGAUACUGUCUCAUAAUUGUUGUUUUUCAGGGCGUACUUUGCGUGUCUAUAUCCGUGGAUAUUAAUUUUCGAUUUAGAACUAUCUUCUGUUGCUUUUUAGAUCUUGAAGGAUAUUUAGUCUUGUGUUUGUUUUUAGAUCUUGACGAGAUUGACUCGCGUUGCUUUUUAUAUCUUGAAAGAUGUUUGAUUAUUUGACCUCUUUUAUAUUCUUUCUCUAUGACUCUGCUCUUAUGUAUUUCCGGAAUCUAUCCAGUGUAUAUUCCGUAAACCAAAGGAGUGCAAGGAGCGUCACAAAAUUCUAAUGGAUAGGGGUGCUGGUGAUGGAGCUGAUAGCGCUGAAGAUUCAGGAUCUUCCCAGUCUUAUCCAUCUACAUUACCUGGCAUUCCAAAGGUCUUUUUUAUAGCAGUCUAUUUCUUUUUUUACUUAGCUUCUUGGUAAGACAGUAAAUGUCAUGUGUUGAUUGAGAUGCAUUCCAUAGUGAGUUAAACAUCUGUUCUCAUUGCUAUUCAAAACACUACAUGCAGGGAAGUGCCAGCAAAUUGUUUCAGCGAUUGCAAUGGCCGAUGGAAGAGGACACUCUCAAGUCACAUUUUGAGAAAAUAAUCAUGAUUGGAAAAAAGCAACAUUAUCGGAGGAGUCAGGUUUGUUCACAAUUUCGAGUAUGCUGUAGUUCUGUUUGUGGAGUUGAGAUACUGUUGCUAGUUAUAUUCCCUUUGCAGUAUUCAUAUUUUCUUUCUCUGUCUCAAUGACUAUGACAUUUGGAUAAUAUGACACCGCUUUUUUCUCUACUAAUUUCACUGGUGAUAUUUCAAUACUUUUCUUAUGGGUUUCAAGUAUACGUUGCAUAUGGUAAGUAGCCUACGGGUCCAUAUUGAAGGUUAACCACAUAGAUCCUUGUUGGUAAUUGGAAGACAUUUUAUUUUAUGAUGAAAAGGCAGGUCUGCUUAAUCUUACCAAGUCCCGAGAUGGUUAGAUUGGGUGAUGAGAGCGAUGCUGAGAGUUUGGUGAGGGUUUUGCGUUGCAAAGCUGCAAAAUUGCCAAUUAAAUAUUUGGGUUUGCUGUUGGGGGCUAACUAUAAAGAGGUGAGGAUGUGAGAUUUGGUGGUGGCUAGGUUUGAGAAGAGGUUAGCAAAUUGGAAGAGAGCUCUUCUUUCUUAGGAGGGAGACUUAUGCUCAUCAAAGCAUGUCAGACAACUAACCAAUUUAUUAUAUGUCUCUCUUGACUAUUCCGGCGAGUGUUGCAAAGAAAUUAGAAAUUACACAUUGCAAAUUCCUAUAGGACGAUUCGGAGAAAAGAAGAAGAUAUCAUUUGGUAGCCUGGGAGGAGAUUAAGAAGCCAAUAAUACUCCAGGGAGGGUUGGGGUUAAUAUCCCUAAUGGAGAUGAACAUGACCCUAUAGGGUUAAUGACUUUGAAGAUUUAAGAAAGAAGAGGGUAUGCUGUGGAUAAGGGUGAUAGAAGCAAGUUUGGAACUGAUGACAAAGGUUGGUGCACCAGAACACUGUCAAGACCGCAUGGGAAAGGAAUGUGGAAAAAAAUAUGUAUGGGGGGAACAAAUUCCAGACCUGUAUUAAAUGGAGGGUGGGCAAGGUGACAAAGUUUUUGGCAAGACCAGUGGCUAGAAAGUGGAGCCCUUACCUCAUAUUUUCGCUAUAGCACAACAAAAAGAUUGAUCAGUGACUCUUUCAGAGAAGUAGGGUGUUUUGGGGGGUGGGGGGUGGGGGGGGAGUGAGGCAAGUAAAUGUUCUAAGAAAUGUUAAUGAUUGAGAGAUUGAUGAGUAUGAGAAUCUCCUAACUAUUUUGUCUCAUAACUUUGGAUGGCAGUAACGAUCAACCUCUGUGGAGUCUUAUUACUACAAGCUUCUUUUUAAUCAGAUCGUUCAGAUCAUUCUACAAGAAUCUAAGCAGGAAUGCUCUGGUUCCAAGUUUCCUUUUAGACAAAUAUGGAAGGUCCCUUCCAGAGUGGCUUUCUUUUUGUGGGAGGUCGGAAGGGGGUUCAUUCUGACUAUUGAUAAAUUGAUGAGGAGUGGAAUGGUUAUAGUGAACGGGUGCUACUUGUGUACAAGGCAUACACAAUCUUAUAAUGAUAUUCUUUUAUGGUGUCCGGUUGUAUACAAACUAUGAGCUAUGGUUUAUGGUAAUCAGUUGGGUGAUGACAGGUUCCAUUAGAGAUGAAAUCUAGGCGUGGAAUGGUAUGAAAUAUGGCCAUUAUCCCCCUUACCAUCUUUUGAGUAAUUUGGAAGGAGAGGAAUAAAAGAGCUUUCGAGGGGGUAGAUGAUGUGGGAGAUUUUGAUAGGAUUAGAAAUAGAUGGUUCUAUAGUCUUGAAUUUUUGAUCUUGGUUUAUUCUCUAUAUUCUAUGGAGGAUUUCAAAGAUCUUAUUGAUAUUUUGGUAAAUAUGUAAGUACGGUGUAUAUGGGUUAACAUUCCCUUGGUGUCUGUUAAUAUAUUAAUUUAUAUUUUUAUUUCAGAAAAGUUGAAAGGCAGGUCUGCACCAGUUUAGAAUAAUAUCUUGUGCUGUUUGUUUAACCAUGUUAGUCAAGAGUUUCAAUUGUUUUUGUGAGACUAUAUUUUAAGUGACUGUGCCAUCUUGAAGUUGAUGCUAAUUUUGGUACAAGAAUAGUGCAUAUGCAUGUUUUUAUCUGCUGUAUAUCCACAUACUUGCAUGUAUUUGCAGCGAGAUACAUGCUUUAGAAAAAAAAUAUUCCAUGAUGGGCCAUGGGUGUCUCUGUGUAUUGCUUCUCUUGAUUAGAUUAUGAAGACAAUUUAUUUCUCCUUAUACUGAAGUUUAAACAGAUUUAUGGUAUUGUAUAUAAAGGAUUAAAGUUAAAGACUUAAAAUGGUUCUGAAAUUAUUUUUCUUCUUUGCCUUGCUGCUUAUGAGUUUCUUCCUACAAUGGUUGUCUUACUGCUUGUUCUGUCAUAGAAUGAUAACCAGGACCAGAAACAGAUAGUACCAGUGCACAACUCACAUGUAGCUGCUCUUUCUCAAGUCUGCCCAAAUAACCUGAAUGGAUCUGUCCUAACGUAAGUUUAUUGCCUAAUUUUUAUUAAUGGGGGUAUGAUAUCGCUCUCCAUCAAUUCUUAUGUGCUAUUUUGUAUUCUCUGGAUGAAGGCCACUUGAUCUUUGUGAUGCAACGGUGAGUCAAGAAGUUGUAUCUCUAGGGUUUCAAGGUUCACAUCCUGGUGGUCUUGGAAUAUCAAAUCAAGGAUCUGUAGCAUCAAUUCUUCCUACAAAUUCCUCGCUGCAGGGAUCUUCUGGUAUGGUUCUUAGUGGUAACUUGCCAUCGCCACCUGGUCCACUCAAUACCCCUGUCAGGUGUGCUAAUAGGUAGCUUGUUGUUACUAAUAGAUUUCUAGAUUAAAUAUAAGAGCAUACUUUUGCUUUUAUAUGUAUUAUCUGUGAAAUGUAUUUACGUAUAUUUUUCCUUUUUGCCUCUGUAGCUUCAUUUUUGUAUAUAUUUUAUUAAUUUUUGUCUGUAACUUGCAUGCUAUGUUGUGAUUUUUAUUCUCAGGGAUGGUAGAUACAAUGUUCCUAGGGCAUCUUUGCCAGUCGAGGAGCAGCAUAGGAUGCAGCAGUAUAACCAAAUCUUAUCUGGGAGAAACAUGCAGCAGCCAAAUUUAUCUGUUCCUGGGACUGCUUCUGGAGCUGAUCGCAGUCUCCGUAUGGCACCUGGUGGAAAUGGUAUGGGCAUGAUGUGUGGAGUGAAUAGAAGCAUGCCAAUAUCAAGGCCUAGUUUUCAGGGAGUGGCCUCAUCGACAAUGUUGACUUCUGCAAAUAUGCUUUCACUAGUAUGGCGGGAAUGCCAAGCCCUGUGAAUAUGCACUCAGGAGUUAGUUCUGGGCAAGGGAACUCCAUGCUGAGACCUCGUGAAGCUAUGCAAAUGAUACGGGUGAAUUAUAUACUUUCUGUGCUUCUUUUACCAAUUAAAUGGCUACUUUAAUUAUGCAUGAUUAUUUAUAUCAUCUUAAUUAUUUUCUUAAAGAAUAGGGGAUUCUAUCCAUCCACUACAGAGGCUUUACAUAUUAUCCAGAGAAAAGAAAAUAUCAAUAAGGUUACCUUAAUACUCUCUGCUGCUAAGAGAGUGACUACUAAUAAAAUACUCAAGGUUUGGUACUAGUGAUCUCUAAUGCUAGCAAAAGGAGAGAUAAUGCCAUAGAAAAUUCUUGUUUAUUUCUUUCAAACUGUCCAAGUGAUGGCUGUUGAUAUGAAGGAAAUAAGCUUCCUCAUAGUUUGCAAGCCUUAAUAAUUAUUAGCCACCCUCACCAAAUUAAGGAAGGAGAGCUGAAUCUCAAAACCCUCUAGCCUCUAAGCACCAAAGUAGGAGUUGGUAGGGGAUUCGCUUGCAAGCGUGUAGAGUAUCAAUUAGCAAGGAGUCUGCAUCUUCUCAAGUUAUCAAAAGAGAUAUUUUAUGCAUAUUACUUAACUUUGAAAGAAUAGAGAGUGUGGUGGGAGGGUGUUUUAGGUGCUUGUAUCGAGAUUUCUUAAUGAUUAAGAGAUUGGUGAAAAUGAGGAACUCCUUCAGAAUUUAUCUUCCAUCUUAUUGGAUGGUAGCACUGAUGUACACAGUGGUGCCUCAUAUUCAAUGGGUCUUUUACGGUCAAAUCUUUCAACAAAGAGCUGUACAAGUGCAAUGAUGAUGGUACUCGCGUUCCUGUUAGGCAGAUUCGGAAGACUAGAGUUCCUCUUUGGAUUUUUUUUUUUUGCUUGGGAGGCUAGCAGAGGAAAGGAAACAUUUUAGUUAAUGCUUGUUUCUUUUGCAAGAGUGACAAGGAGACUUGUAAGCAUGUGCUAUUGUGUUGUCUGAUGAUCUAUAAGCUAUGGGCCAUGGUUUAUGGAUUGUUGGGUAUCAGUUGGGCAGCUUCAGUGAGGGAGUAAAUUUGAGCUUGGAAGGGUGUUAAAAGCAGGGGAAAACUGAUGGACUUUAUUCCACUCUCUAUUUUUGGGUUGUUUGGAAGGAGAGGAAUCGGAGGGCUUUUGACGUGGUUGAGGAUGUUGAUGGUUUUGAUAUCUUAAAGAACAGAUGGUUCUGGACUGUUGGUUUUUUGUUACAAGAUCAUCAUUUGGUUACUUUGGAGGAUUUUGCGGAAUUGAUUGAUUUGUUAAUAGACUUGUAAAUGUUGAAAAUGGGCGGCAUCCCCUUGGUGCCUUACUAAUAUAUGUUACCAUUUAUAUUUAAAAAAAAAUAUUUGUUUUCUUAAAAUGCAUAAGCAAUUGGACUGUUGGUUUUUAUGCAAUUAGUGUUUGAGAUCCAGAUCCUUAGUUUCACUGCUGCUAUCUUUGUUGGCAUGGUAGUGGACAAUCUAUGUUUAUUCUUAAGGGUUGGACUUCAAGCGUUUCUGAGGAGGAGAAAAAUUGUAUAGGAGUUGUACGGUGUUGAGUGGAGCACAUAGAAAUGUGAAAGAGCAAUUUUGGUGAAUGAUUCGUGGACUACUUUUAGGGUUUUGAAACCUCCACGCUUACCUUGGAGUUGAAUGAAUGGCAUUUGAGGCAAUUCUUUUGUUAACUAUUGCAGAUCUUAUUUUCAGUUGAUGUGAGUGUUGUUUUCUCAUGCUGCGCAGUCUUCUCGUUGAGCUCUCUGGUUUUCUGCAUCUUAAAACUUUCUUUCCUUUUUACAACUAGUCACCUGUGCCCUGAAAGAAGGAUUCCUUUGGUUAGAGGAACCUGCUAAAAGUUAAUGUUAGAUACAUUUUUGAGUAAUAGCUUCCACUAAUCUCAAGCCCCGAAAUUUGAGCUCUGGCUUCUUUUUCUGGGUCUUCCACACCAGUUUAGCCAUGAUUCUGUGCUCUAGAAGUAUGAUUCAGACAAUUAUGUAAGCAGGGGACGGUAGUAGCUGGUUUGGUUGAAUUUCUUCUAAAAAAGGCUGAUUGGGUUGAUUGGAUUUAAACCCCAGUUCUUGCCUUGAAAUUGAACGUGGGAUUAGGAGUAGUGACUAAUUGGAAAAGGAAACUUGGUUAUUUAGAUUGAUUUAAUGCUGUAAUCUACAAUCCAAAAAAUUGUGUUACUUUAUAGUUGAUCCACGCUACAGUAGUGCAUCAGUAAUUUAAUCUUAUUAUGGCAAUUUUUAUUUGUCUUGCAGCCUGGGAGUAAUUCAGAGCAUCAAAGGCAAUUGAUAGCACAAGAUCUUCAGAUUCAGGUUACACAAGGGAACAGCCAAGUAAUUCCUGGAUUCAAUGGGAUGAGUUCUGGUUUUCCUAAUCAGACACCCUCCCCUCCUGUGCAGGCAUACUCGGGCAAUCCUCAGCAACAGCACCAGAUUUCUCCACAGCAGUCCCAUGCUCUGAGUAAUUCACAUCAUCCUCAUCUUCCAGGUCCCAAUCAUGCUACAGGAGGACAGCAACAAGCCUAUGCAAUCCGACAAAGGCAAAUGCAACAGCGUUAUAUGCAACAGCAGCAGCAGCAGCAGCAGCAGCAGCAACAGCAACAGUUUGCAGCAUCUGGUGCUUUGAUGCCACAUGUCCAACCACAACCUCAGCUUCCACUAUCAUCUCCUCUGCAAAAUAGUUCUCAAAUUCAAGCACAACCUUCCUCUCAGCCACUAUCAAUGGCGCCACUUUCAGCAUCUUCCCCAGUGACACCCAUGGCAUUGCAGCAUCAGCAGAAACAUCAGCUGCCACAUCACGGGAUGGGCCGGAAUCCUCAACUUGGUACUGGAUUGACUAAUCAAAUGUCAAAGCAACGACAACGGCAGCCACAGCAGCAGCAGUUUCAAUCUGGCAGGCAGCACCCUCAACAACGGCAGCAGGCACAGUCUCAACAGCAAGCUAAACUUUUGAAGGUUAUGGGAAGAUCGAACAUAGUGGGGCAGAACUUUUCAGUUGAUCCAGCACAUCUAAAUGGUCUUCCUAUGGUCCCAGGAAGCCAAGCNNNNNNNNNNNNNNNNNNNNNNNNNNNNNNNNNNNNNNNNNNNNNNNNNNNNNNNNNNNNNNNNNNNNNNNNNNNNNNNNNNNNNNNNNNNNNNNNNNNNNNNNNNNNNNNNNNNNNNNNNNNNNNNNNNNNNNNNNNNNNNNNNNNNNNNNNNNNNNNNNNNNNNNNNNNNNNNNNNNNNNNNNNNNNUAUUUGCAGCCGGCAUUAUAGCUCCUAACAACCAGCAUCACAGCUUCAGGGUCAGCCACACCAAAACAGGUCAAUCAAACACAAUCAGCUGCUCAGAGAAUGGUUCCACAGAACCGUCAGGGGAAUUCUGAUUCUCAAGUAAAACUCAAACUGAUCAAAUUCCAGCUGACCCGCUUGGGAAGAGCGCUUCCCAGGGGAACUCUGGUGUUACUGUAGCUGCGCCUCAGGCAUGUAUUGAUUCAGUUAACAUAAUUCCUGCAGCUUCUACAGCAAUCGGUUCUCAAUGGAAAGCUUCAGAACCUCUAUAUGAAUCUGGCAUGCCAAAUACAUCUAAAGUGGGAUCUAUUGGUGGGCCGUUGCUUACAAAUGCCACUGGGACUGAUCUAGUACCAUCUGCAAGCCAAGGGUUAGGCCAAAGGCAGCUAUCAGGUAGCUUGUCCUCUCAUGGGCAUGUGGGGGCACAGUGGCAACAGCAGUCACAGUUGCAACAAUCAUCACCAACCCAACAGCAGUAUCAACUGCAAGAACAGCAACUACCGCAGCAAGAGCAGCAACAGUCCAACCAACACCAGUUGCCGUCACAGAAGCAGUCACAUCAACAAAUGCAACAUUUGCAACCAGCAGCAGGAAGUUUGUAUAUCAGGCCCUCUAAUUCUAAGGUGGAAUGAAGCAGUCUGCUGGAUUGAGCAGCAUCCUGCUGAGAGUCGGUUCAGCAAGAAUUGGGUUUGCAUGCCCUCAUAACAGCAGUGUACAGGUAAUGUUUUAUUUUUUCACUAUAGCUAUCCAUAGUUACCUUCUGUAACAUAACAUAUUUGUUUUUGUCACUCAAUACUUUUUCUUUGAAUGUUUCCUCGUUUAUAUAUUUUUUUAUCCAUUAGCCCCAAAUUCUUGUUCGACGUUCCAUGAGUGGUUUUUUCAUCCUUGGAUUGUAAUCAAGUUGGGAACUUUGGAAAGCAUUUUUUGGUGGUGGAUGGGUGGGUGGGUACCCGUAUGGGGCGAGCGGCCAGCUCUUCACAUUGUUGAUUUAUCUCUUAACAGAGGAGAUGACUAAUCCAACCAUAAUUGCUUGCAGGUUAGAGCUGGUUACAAGACAGAAGGAUGUGGUGAUUCUUAUUUGCCGGUGGGGUCAUCAGUUUGCAAAAGAAAUGCUGGUAGACCAUUUUUUUUCCUUUUGGGGAAAGUAUGUAUAUUACCGCUGGCUAAGAAUUUUUGGGAGAAUGGAGACAGAUAUAGAGGUACCUGUACAGGAGUCUCCUCUCCCAUUUCUUGUACCUUUUUUGCCCCUUUUUUUCUCUGGUUUCCCUCUGCAGAUGGGCAGAGGGUGCCUGUUCGGUUUUGCCCCAGUAGAUUAGUGGAUGUACUAUUACCUUUCAGAUUAAGUGGGUAGUGAUCAUUGUUACAGGCAAAAGGCCUUUGAAAAUUUUGUGAAUACAAGGUUUCUUUCUGGUGUAUAAAAUGAUUAGUGGUAAAAGUGAUUGGCAUCCGACUGUGGCCUCUAAAAUACUUGUAUUAUGUAGUCUCUCAAGUGCAGCAAGCUUUAAUGGGUAUUCCAUUUCCUUUCCUGCCGUACAGCCUUUGAAAUUGAUCAUCUCAACUUUGUUGGAGUAAAUGACAGAUUGGUGUCCCAGAACAAUCUAUUAUUCAUAGGCUAAUUAGUUUUCUGGGUGUUUAUAUAUAUAUAUAUGUGUGUAUAUAUUUAGAGGAUACAGAAACUGCCGGGGACUUUGUUGAUGAUGGUAAACGGUUUGGACACUGGUGUUCUCUUCAGCAGUAACCAGGUUUAUCGUAUAAAGACCUUUUUGUCUGUGUAAUAUGUUUACCGAUAACUUGACUUUUGGGCGGAUCGACAUUCGAGCAGGUAGCCUCUGAACAUACAACAUGUUUGUACGAAUUGCUGCGCAUAAACAGUUGGACCACAGGUUGAAAAGUCUGGAGAAGUUGUUGCAUGGUUCUGUGUUUUUAUUUAAUUGAUCCAGAUCAAAACUCUACGAGAGAAGUAUCUGCACAGUCUUUUUUUGAAAAUUGAAUAAAGAAUUUCUAUUUUUAAUCUCUGAACUUCUUGUUUUGUAUAGUUUAGAUGUUAUUUAUUUACCUUUUUACGGUUUGGUGCUUAAAUUGAAAAUUAUUUUAAUUCGUAAUCUCGUUUAUAUUAAACUAUUUGAUGAAAAAUUUUAAAUUUUAUUUAUUUUACUCAUAAAUAUUAUAAUAAUUAAAUGUUAAUCUUAAUAAGAAAGGGGUAUACAAUAAUUUCUUUUAGAAUUUCGAUUCUAAUUCUAUUUUGUCACACAUUUAAUUUUUUUAAUUGUAUUUUAUUAAAAUAUUAUAUUUUAAAAUAAAUUUGUAAAAAGUUUAGGGACUAAAAAGAACAAGACUGAGUUUUUGUGUUGCUUAUAAAUUAAGAACUGAAUCAAUAAUUUGCCCUAAUUGAGAAACUACAUGAUAUCUUGGUCAUAGUUCAUGCCCUACUCGGUAAACCAUAUCAUAUCUUUGUUAUAGUUAAUCCAAUACAAUAAUUUUUUUAACACCCAUAUCUGAGUAGUUUGGAUCCCUUGUAGGCUGUGAGUCGUAAUCAUAAGAUGCUAUCAUCAGGUCUACGAUCUCUGAUUUGAACUGACCUGAUUGCAUUACACGAUCAAGCUUUAAGAAGUGUGUAUCCAGAACAUGUGUGAGUCUUAAGAUCAGAACUUAGUUAAUCCGAAAUCUUCGUCGUAUUUGUGAUCAAAUAUCUUGGUUUCAAAUUAACACUAAUAUUAAAGAUGCUUAUUAUCGAAACUUACUAAAUGCUAUUCAAAUUCAACUUCGAUCCCAUCCAUCCUUAUGUCUUGAUUGCCAUGCUGGUACAUCUGAGAAUUGUGUUAGCACUAACCUAAAAAGAGCGCUCAUUCAGUUAAAUCAUUCGGAGCAUUCUGAAGCACCAUUGUCCCGUUUUUGCCUUGUCUGAAAACGACCAACAACCAUCAAAUUGCAGAUCUUGGCCUGAAUCUCAUAGAAUCUGCGUCAAGUAUAUAAUGAAGCAACAAAGCUUACUGUUCUCAUUAUGGCGAAAUGCGUAACAUCAGAACUAGUAAGGAUCCCUCAGAAGUAAAAAACUUGAGGUUUCUGUACAUACCAUCUGGCUAUAGUAGGGAUGCAAGAGGCAUAGACAAAACACACGGAACGCAAAUUGGGAAUUGCAUUUGGCGUGAUUGUGCAUUAAGUUUUUACAAUUUCAAUAUAAUAAAUUGAACGCUGCCCCAUCAUAACAGAUAUCAGAUACCCUAGAUUUCCAUCAUUGAACAAACAAAUUUGAUAAGUUUGAUCUUUAAACUGCUUCAUUGAGUAACUAAACAUUGAACAGGGUUCGGAUAUAUCUAUAUAUAUCUCUAUGUUAGUUGCUUCCAGUUACACAUAUACAACUGCGUCAUUCGUACUCCAAAUUAUAAACAACAUUCCAAAAGAAAAAGAAAAAAGAAAGUCAUGCUUUGAAAGUUUAAACUAUCAUAAAGCAACUACCAAUGAAACCUUCACCAACUAGACUUCUUGCUCGGACUUCAGAUUUUCUGGCAAUAGCCCAAAAGCCUUUUGGAUCGUAUCAACCACUUUCCUCUGUGAAUCCAUUAUCAUUUCAAUCCGCUUAUUCUCCAUGUCCAUUCUAUACUUCUCUGUCUCCCUAAUCAUCUCCAUCUUUCUCCUCUCCACCCUCAGUACACUCUUUGCGAAACCUCGUAUCUCUGCAGCCAAUUCAAAUCCAACAUUUCUCCCUCUUCCUCUCUCCCCUUCCUCUUCCUCUUCCUCCUCAAUUCUCCGCUUCCUCAACGAGUUCUGCGCAAACCCAGAAAAGGUCUCACCAUUCCCUGCAAACCUAUUUACAAGACUAGGCCUCCUCAGUAUGUAAUUAAUACUCCUGGACUUACUGUAUCUCUUACCCUCUUCAUCAUCUUCAUCGUCAUCCUCGUAAAUUGGUUCGCUGUGAUCGCAAUCGGGCGCCUCGUUUGCAGAGAAGGGAUAUAGGGCGAGGGGGCGGGCAGCGAUAGGGGGCACAGGGCCACGGUCAAGGGAGUCCAUGAGUUGGUAGUAGUGCCAGGGGGAAGAGCGUCCAAACCGUUGCUUUUCGGCUCGGAAGCGCUUGCGGAGCUUCUCCAUCUUGUGGCGGCACUGGAUGGGGGAUUUAGCGGGGUGAUGGGAGAAUUCGUAGCCGCAGCGGGCAGCGACGGUGAGGGCAAUCUCGUCCCACUGAUUGGCUUUGAGCUGGCCGCGUUUGAGGGAGUACCAUUUCUCCUGGUAGGUUUGGAUGACGUGGAUGGUUUCCAGGUGAGUCCAGGGGACAGGCUGGGGUUUUUUGGUAGCGGCGAUUGUGGUAACUGGGGUGGGUUGAGGGNNNNNNNNNNNNNNNNNNNNNNNNNNNNNNNNNNNNNNNNNNNNNNNNNNNNNNNNNNNNNNNNNNNNNNNNNNNNNNNNNNNNNNNNNNNNNNNNNNNNNNNNNNNNNNNNNNNNNNNNNNNNNNNNNNNNNNNNNNNNNNNNNNNNNNNNNNNNNNNNNNNNACGACGGUGGGUCGUGAUGGGAGAGACUGUAAUAGACGAGGUCUCGACGGGGUGCUUAGCGUGACUAAAGGGUAAUUCUUGUCGAUGGACACGGAGCCGGAUCCAGAUACAACAGGGUUGGAUUAGACCCGGGUCCACUAACUAUUCACCCGAUUGCCCGUUGUACUUGAUUAUACCAAUCUAAUAAACAAAUAAAUUGUUAAAUUAUUUUAUUAAUAAAAUUUAUAUUGCAUUAAUUUAUAUACAUAUUUAAUAAAAAUAUCGUAUAAUAUAUAUUUUUCAAAAAAAAAAAAGAAUAGUAAAAUAUUAUUUCAUUCUUUCUCCCAAUCGGUACCAAAAUAUUUAAAGAGCAAACACCUUAAGUACAAGUUUUUAUUAUUUAUCAAAUAUGUAACAAUCUUAAAACAUUGUCAAAAGAUUUAUAAAUUCAUUUUUAGUUACUAACAAAUAUUUUAUUAACAUAUCAAAUCAAACACUACCCUAAAGUAUCUUACAAAGAUCAAUAACCCUUCUCUUCCUCCUUAUAAACCUUUUUAUUCAUUUGUCUUGGAUUGAGUCCAACAACAAUGAUUUUUCAGACUUGAAAAAAAUUAUAUUUAAAAAUUUAAUUAAGCAUAAAAUUAUAUAAAUUAAAAUUAUAAAAGUUUAAAUGAAGAAAAAUUAAAUUUUGUUGAUAUUUUUUUAAGUAAUAAAGACCUAAAUGAUAAUAAAUACAAAAAAUAAGGUCAAAAUAUAAUUUUGAAAAUGCAGGGUACCUUGGCAGGUGAGGUGUCUGGGUGGGCUAGGUCGUUCAGCCACGUGUGCGUACACGUUGCGAGAUCUGAAAAUGCAUGGCCCAAAUCUGUCUUGCAGAUUCGACAGCUCCCGGAAGCUAAUAUGAGAGCUUCAUUUUCAGCUCUUGGAGAGGGAAGAAGAACCCUAGCCGCCAGGGAAGUCCAGGCGGCAUCGGGGCCAAGAGAGAGGAGAGAGGGGAAGAGCCUUGGCCGUGUGAGGUGAAGGAGUGUGCGGCGGUCGCGAAGGUGGAAGACGAGGCGGAAGGGGAGACGUCGCGGGAAGAAGAGAUAGAGACAGAGAGAGGCGUGCGAGGGGAAAAGGAAGAGAGAGAAGAGGAGAUCGUCGGGUGGAAGAAGAAGAAAAAGAAAAAGAAGAAGAAAAAGAAGAAGAAGGAGAAGAAGGUGAAGAAGAAGAAGAGGAGAAGGGAAAAGAAAGGAGGCAUGACGGCCAUGGUGGGCAGUGUACGGCCGAGGGUUAGUGAAGUCGAGAGAGGAAGCAAAUUUGAACAACCGGCGCGAUGUACAGCGAUCCUGUGGAGGAAAGAAGUGUGCAAUGUUUGUGGUCGGGAGGAGGGGACUUUGCGUGCGGCGGUUUCGCGAAACAAAGGAAUCCGAUGUAGUGGCAAUGGUGGACACGGCGGAGGAGAGAAGAAACAACCCCAGGGAAGAAGCAAGAAGAAAAAAAAGAAAAAAAAAGAAAAAAGAAAGAAAAAAAAAGAAGAAAAAAAAAAUAAAAGAAAAAGAAAAAAAAAGAAAAAAAAAGGGGGGGAAAAAGAAGAGAUAAAAAAGAAAAACAAAAGAAGAAAAAAAAAAAAAAAAAAAAAAGAGAGAAGAAAGAGGUGGGUGUGGCUUGAUCUACUGUUGGUACGCGCGGAGGCGUGUACUAAUCACAGUGGCAUGUGCGGUAGAGCGUGACUAUUACAGUGGCAUGUGCGGUAGAGCGUGACUAUUCCGGUGACUCAUGUGGUGGUGCGUGGUAUAAUGCCCAAGUUUAAACUUAAUGUGAAUUAAAUUUAUUUAAAUGCAAUUUUUUAAUUUUUUUAAUUGUAUUUUGGAGUAAAAAUGAAAUAAAUUUGAUGGAUGAUAAAAUUGAAAAUAAUUUCAAGAAAAAUGGGUGAAAGUUUGGGUUAUUGAGGUAUUUUUGAAAAAAAAUUAAGGGUCAAAAUAUAAUUUAAAGAAAUUUUGUCACGUCGGAUGUCCGGUCAACAGGCCCGAUGAAUUAGGACACGCCGCGUGGCAGCGGACGCUGACGCGGUGCCAUAUGGGAGGCCACGCAGGUGAUCCGCGUGCUCACGAUCGAAUGGUCUAUAUCUGUUCCCACGAGCAUGAACGGUCUGGAUGCGUUCCUUCCCCAACGCGAUCAAACGGUUAGAUUUAAACACGAUCACACGGUUCAGAUUGGAUCGCGAUGAAUGACUUAGAUUAGAUCAUGAUGAACGGUUCAGAUUCAUUCCCUAUUUAAUCGCGAUCGGACGGUUAAAAUCAAAUACGAUGAACGACUCAGAUUAAAUGCGGAUGGAUAUAAAUAACCCCCACUCGCACCAAAAGAGACCGCCGCUGCGCCGGAGCUCUUUCCAACCGCCAAAAGAGGUAAAAAAAAUUUUCUUUACUCUGAAUUCAAAUUUAAACACAUCUAUGGCCAAAUCAGAGCAAAAAGACCGGCUGUUAGCCAGAAAAGAUGAGAAUUUUACAAAACGCCUCCGAUGAGACUCUUUAUGAUUCCUAUUUUGCGUAAUUUUUUCACCUUUGUGACCACCGUUUUCUUUUCUACAGGUUGACCGGAGCAAAACACCCAACCGCAAUGUGAGCUGGAGGAGUCGUCGCAUCGGAGCACCUCGCCACCGGUGAGUUUAAGUUUUUUUUGUGUUUUUUCGACCAACCGAUGUUUUUUAACGUUUUUUCUCACAAGAAUUGAUGCAGAAUCAGUCAAAAACAGCUAACCCGAGGUGGACUGUCGCCGCGGGCGGCGGCGCCGUCGUCAGAGCAUGGCGGAGCUGCCGUGCCAAAAUUUUAAAAUUGGCCCAAGUGGGCCCUGAGAUUGAUUUUGGGUUUGUUUGAGACAUUUGUAGGUACUUAUAGUGCGUUUUGAUUCCUGAAGAAAAAUUCAGAGAAUCUGGGGAUCCCCAGUGGACGCAGUCAACAGUUUAACCUUUCGGGCACCAAAUUGAGUAAGAAUCCCUAACCCUAUUCUCUGUUAUAGAAUUGAAGUCUAAUUAACAAUAAAUACAGUAUUUUAUAUAAGUUAGAAAUGUUCAGGAUUAAUUAUGGAUUAUUAAUAGAGACAGAACCGGAAACUAUUCUCUGUUGAUUGUUUUUACAGUUUUAAAUGCAUGAUAGUGCCUUUAUUGAUUUAUUUUAUAGCUUUGAAUGCAUAUAUUGUUGUUUUACAUGUUUAAGGUUAAAUUAAAAAAAAAUGAACGUUAAAAGUAAACGAAAAACUUAUGUGAUUAAGUGAUUGGAUGAAACGACAGUCUUACUGGACAUCCUGGAAAAUGGUGGACGAACCAGGUACACAAGGAACCCUAUCAUGAACGUGUUUUAUACCAGACGAGGUAUGGAGACUUGAUAAUUUGGGACUCAUAUCGGACGAGAUAUGGUGAUUACCCGCUUCACCCUCAUACCGGACCGAGUAUUGAGGUUUGGUAAUUGUGGCUCAUACCGGACGAGAUAUGAGGACGACCCGUAAUUGAGAGCGUUAAAGGAAAAGAUUCAUGCGUAGCGGGAACAUCCCUAUGAACCCCCACGGAUACCAGCAGGCUGGUGAAAAAAAGGGCAAUUAUUGUUUGAUGAUUUGAAUAUGAAAGUAUAAUAUGUGUUAUGUUGACAAUUAUAGAUGGAAUCAUGAUAUAUAUAAUGUUAUUAUUUUCUCAAGGUUGUUUUCUAUAAAUCUCACUAUAGUAAGUAGACGGUAAAUAAUUUUAUUAUUGAUAAAUGAAUUUGCUUAAUUUAGUGCUCCAUUAGUUAUUUUUAUGAUUUCUGCCAAUUUUAAUUUCUGUGUUGGUGAUAUAGUGUGAUCUUCUUACUAGGUUAGUGUAGUUCAUCCCUUAUUUAACAAUUUCAUAUCAAGAGGAACAUGAUCCAGAGCCCGAUCCGUAAAAGGGUUGCGAGUAGAAUACUAGUUUUUUUUUUAUUUUCCGUUCAUUUUCUUAUUUCAUUGCAUUCCUUUCAAAAUGGUGAAUUCCGGAACACUAAUUAGUACUUUAAGUUAUUGUGUAAGGAAUAUAAACCUUAAAUAUUUAUUUUGCUUUCGCACUUUAAUUAUUAUUUAUUUCUUUUGAAUAUUUUCAGAGAUCUCGGAUUCAAAGGUAAAAUCGUUGCCCUUUUGUUUCGUAGCAUUUCGAUUAUUACUCAUUUUUAAUGACAUGCAUAUUCCGGUUGUGAACCAAAAAAACAUUGGAGUGGUAGUCGGGAGGUGGAGAGAAUCGUAACCCGAUACCAUUUUGGGUUACCGCGUUGAUGACCGUGGGGUUCAUGCCAGCCAACUACUUCCUAGAGCGAAGUGGGUUGCGUCUCUUUCGGGAAUCCCGAACUCGUUGAAGGCCAAUUCCGAAAAAUUUAUAUAUUCAUGUUAAUUCAUUAAGUUAGAUUUUGGAUUGAUUUUAGGUAAAUUGAGUAAUUAGACUUAGAAAUCUAGGUGAGUUAUUAGUAAUUAUAAAGUUAUUUCGGUAAAAAGAAAGAUAUCUAAUAAUCGAUAUAUAGCUUCACAUAGGCCAUGGGAUUGGGGAGAGCGUAAAGGAGCGUAAAUCGAUGUCUUAGUUGUCCGAGAAGGUAAGUAUAUCUAGUAGCUAUCCCGAAACCACAUUUGUAUAUUUUCAAAAAUGUUUUCAAAUAAAAACCUAAUUAAGUUUUGAGUAAAGUUUAUAAAAUUAAGGAAUCAGGUAAGUGAAAGACAUUGAAAAAUAGUGAUACUGUAUAUUUUAAUUUGUCAUUUGCUUGUUGCUUGAUUUUUGAAUGAAGAUUGCAUGUUUUAAAUACUGUAUGAUUGAUGAUUGAUGGUAUGAUGAGUUGCAUAGUUUGAGUAGAAAAUUAAUAAUAGUGCAAAUUCACCAAUAAGAUCAUGAACACAUAAAAUAACUUUCACAAAUAAAAUAAGAUCAACAAAAAAAAAUACAUAUUCUUAAAUUAAAUUAGAGAUUUUAAAUAAAACUAAUAAAACUAAAAAUUAAAAAUAGUAAAAACAUUAGAACAUGAAUAAUAAACAAAAUGAUAACUAAAUAACUUACAAUAAACAGGAAAGUGUAUAAUUAAGGAGAGUUAGUAAGUACUAUAAGGAUGGAAAAGAGACCAAUUGAGAGAAUUAAAAUAGUGUGAGAUAUAGAGUAAGGUUAAUUAAAAAAGUGUACAAAGUCUUUAAAAAAUAUAAUUAGUUUGUUAGAAAAAAUAAAUAAAUAAUAUCAAUCUUAGUUAUAAUAGGAAGAAAAACAAAACAAAACAAAAACUUAGAAGAAACAAAAAUUUAGAGAUAACCUAUUUAAGAUUGAUAUGACUGAAAUUUAGCGGUGUGGUGAAUUCUAGUUCUUGGGUGGAUGGAAACCCUUCCAGACGUGGUUGGGGGGUCAUCUGGCGAGGGACUGCUGUGACCAUUGUAUGUGUUUUGGUUGUGUGUGCAUCCCCUUGUGAUAGUGGAAAUCCUGAUAUCACAAUGGUACCAAUUAGAUAACGGAUAUACCCAUUCAAUCUUAAAGAAAAAUCUAAAACUUUAAUAACUUUAAUUUGAUGAUUUAUAUUGAGAAAAAUUGAGAAUCGGGGAUACCCGCUGAGGGGUUACAGAUAUCUCGAUUUGGCCAAAAAUUUGUAAGAAAUUCUAAUAUGUGAAUAUAUGAGAUAAGUAUGGAUUAUAGAGAAACUGAUAGAUGAGUAUGGUUUUGAAACUAGAUAUGAUGUGAUAAUAGUGUAUGAUAUGAGUAGUUACAAUUAGAGAAUUAAGAACGAAAAGAAAUUAACGAGAUAAUGAGGAAAUAAUAAGAAAGAGAAAUUUUAAGAGAUAACUAGUAAAGGAGAAUAGCGAGGGAAAAAAAGUAGAUAAAAAGGAAGUUAUGGGAAAUAAUGAGAGAUGAGAUAGGAAAUGAAAUAUCUCUGCAUUUUAUGGUUUUCAAAUAUAAAGGGAAAGAAAAGUUUUACAUUUCUGACUGAUUGUAUAUAGGAAUGUCGCAUGCGUAAAGUGUAGUUUAUUCGAUAUACUUAUUGAGUCAGUUGUUUUACUCAUUCCAUUCAAAUUCUAAUUUUUUUCAAAUAAAAUCAAUGAAAAUAAUUUAUAGAGCCAAAACUGAAAUUUCAUGUUUAGUUUUCAUAUGAUGAGUUUUAAUCCAAUUGUGAACUCUACAAUUUUCGGUAAUCUUGUGAUGUAAAUUAUGUUACAUGUUGUAUAAGGAAUAAAUAGCUUUUGUUGUACUUUUUUUGAAAUUUUAUGUCAUAUCUUCCGGUUUAGUUGUAUUUGACAGCGUGGUUUCUCGUUGGAGAAUUGCGGGCCAUCACAUUGAGAGUUUUCAGGGAAUCAUAUCAAUUACCAAACAGACAAGAAUUUAGAGUAUCUGUGAAGCUCUUAGUUAUAUCAAUCAUCAAAUACAAAUACCUUGUGUUGAAAAUAAUCUUAAUGUCAUUCAGGUUCUAAUGUCUGUUUCAUUCCUGAGAAUAUAUAUAGUCACAAAAAUAUGUACAGAGUUUUGUUAUCCACUUGUCUCCCAGGUUAUGCACUUCAAAGCAGAGGAGUUUCCAACGCACUUCAGCCAUCAAAACAAAAUGAAGCACCAUAGCCUCUGCUCUUUGCUAUAUGCAAUGGCAUCAUAACUACAAGUGAGGAAAUAUGUAUUGACCUGUGUAUUGAGCUGUGAAAGAGUCUGGAAAAACCAAGAAAAUAGAAAACUAUAUAUUAUCUAUGUAUAAAAACUCGAAGAUCACUUUAACUGCAAUGCCUAUCAGAAAGAGAUGAGAUCAAUGAUAAACAGCUCUCUUCUCUUUGCUGGCGGAAAACCACCAAUCUGGGAACCUGAGAAUCAAAUACACAUUAGAUGAGUCACCUACAAUGAGAAAACAGGAGGGAGAGCAAUCUUGCAUAAAUUAACUUGAAGAGGUAGGUCACCUAGAAUGAGACCUGCACUGUGUCUCCCCACUAAAAAAGCCUACAGAAUCGUUGAUGGUCAAAGAGUUAAUGUGGACAAACAACUUCGGUGGACUUUAAUACUUCAGAGCAACAGUGCUCAUCUUUCUGGAGGAAAAUACUUGCAAUUUCUUGGCCAGCAAGAGGGUGUUAUCCCCUGCAAAAAUGAAAAUCAUAAGAUCAUCAGAUUGCGUUGUUUAAUAAUGAAUACCAAAUACUUCAAUUUAUAAGAAAGGAACAUGCUAUUUAAAAGAAAAAGAUCAGAACAAGUCAUAGAAAUCAUCAAUGUCAAUUGUCCUGUAAACUGUUGCCCCAACAGAAUAAUGCUAUCAUAGUACUUUCUACAGUUCAUAUAAAAGUCCUAACAAAAACAGACUCGUGCUUACCCAAUAUCUAAAUUGUCCACAGGUGUAUGUAGAUGCAGAAACUUUUCACUAACAAGCACCAUCACUAAUAUAGCAGGGGGGAAAAACAAUAUUUGUUGAGUUAACAAAAUGGCACUGUCACUGGUGCUUAGCUAGGCAAACCAUUUCUCAAAAGCCAGAAUGAUUUUUAGGGGAAAAAAAAGCUGACUUUAUUGCACAACCUUCACCAACACCAGAGAAUUUUGAAAUAAAAUUGAGCUACUCAAAAACUUAAAAAACUCAAAUGCUACCCCUUUCACCUCUCGCUACCUGUCCUGGCUAUUUAGUUCAUUGAAAAUUUGAGCCCCAACUCUUGCAACUACCUCUACCUCUAAUCUGAUUAAAGAUUUUAAGGCUAUGUUUGGAAUAAAUCCACAAUAUGUACAUAAUUCAUUUUACAAAUUUACACUUAUUUAACUAAAAUAUGAUGAAAGUUUUACUUAAAAUAGUAAAUGCUGAGCUCAUUCGGAAUUCUAUAUAGAAUUGGAACAACGUAAUCCAUUCCAUCAGUUUUUAUGGAAUUUGGAAUUUAUGUUUUCAGGUCUAUAAAAAUUCCAUAUGGACUUAAUUUUUAUUAUUCUAGAUAGAAGUUAUGCUCAUUAAAAUAAAUAUUGAUUCACAAAUGAAUUCCACAAGGUCUGAAUUUGUUCUAACUAUAGCACAAGACUUCUAACAACCUUCUCAGUAAUGUGCAUAUCCAUAUAACUUUUCUUCAUCUUGCCAGGACUUUAAUGUCCUGCAAUGGCAAAGGAAAGAUGAAUUUGAUGCAUCCUAACAAGAAAUUGACUUGCUAAGAAAAAUGGAUAGGGAGGUUUUGGAGAUAUCUCUAAAAAGGAAAUUUCUUCCUUUUUUCUCGGCAGUUUAGGCAACGCUAAUACAAUGUGCUUUGAGAAUAUUAAAAGUUGAACUCACAUAAUAUGAAAAAAAUAUCUCCCAGAGGCAGAGACAUGAAUUACAUCUUCCAGUGUUUAGGUUUUUCUUGGUAUACACCCUUUAUUUGGCUAGAAACAUGAAUUCAACCAGAGUUCCCAUUUCCUGGCCGUACCCACAUGGCUUUUACUGCUUGCCAUUUGACUUGGAUUUGAAGAAAAUAAAGGACACCACAUUUCAAACAUAUUUGGCAUGUCUGACAAUUGACAACCCAUAUGAAUGUAAAUAUGAAUACAAGUAAUUAUUUCAUACACAAGGAUAGAAGAACUUACAGUUGAGCUAUCCUCUUUUAGAUUUUCCAACGACUCAGCAAGCUGCAUUUGUUUUGAUGCAGUAGCAAGCAGUGCCUUUGAAGAAUUAAAGUCAAGGUUCAAUAACCACCUUGAGAAAAAAAUUACAGAACAGUCAUGGUUGGAGAAAAAGAGAUUAUACCUUCUUCGUCCUCUGUAAAUCUAGUUCUAUAGAUUUAAUGCGACUCAGUGAUUCCUGAAGCAUGUCAUCUUUCUCUGGAGGAAUUUUCGUAGGUUUAUUGAACAGUUCGGUUACUAACGUUUCUAAAUGUUGCAGCCUCUGGCAACAUGGAUGGAGUGAAGCCUCUUCCACUACAGGUGAAAUACGUUCCAACUGGGGUCUCAACUGGUUCUCUAAUCGUUUUUGCGAAGGUUGCACUAGAAACAAUCUCUUCAACAUUUGGAGUAGGAGAUAUAUACACGCUAACAAUUUGAGAAUGAAGGAAACCACUAAACUUGUUACAUGAUGAAUAGAAUUCUUCAGCUGCCGUUUUGGGAGAACAUUAUUGGCUAAAUUAUCUGUCAGGAGGCACCAAAUUAGUUACAGCCUAAAAUAUUGAUCAGAAACAAGUUAAACUGUCACUUUAGCACUGAAGAGAAAAAAAAGAUCAGCAAGAUCCUUUUUGCAGAGUGAAGCAACUAUCCAGUAACUUCAGCAGAUUAAUUAAGGACUAUUAUUUUGGAACAUCUCCAUAUAGUUCACUUUGGAAAAAGUGAAUAUACUAUUAUGAUUAAAUCACCAAAGUAAAAAAGAAAGGCCUAUCAAUUUACAAAAUGCCAAAAAAAAAAAUAGAAAUUAAGGUUAGAAGUGUUCAGGUGUUAUAUCACAUGACAAGCAAGCAAUGUAAAACAUUAUUCGCUUAAAUGCUUCUGAAUCCACAUCUGGCCUACGUGCAUGCUCAUGUAGUUUGUCCAAAUUAACUAAUACGUUAUUUUCUACGAAACAUAAACACCAAUCUUAGGUUAAGAUAGGAAUAAUGGAUGUUGCACAAAUUAGUUUGUAAGUAAGUAAUCUGAAAAACACCAUCAUGACACAGGUUUGCAAAGCACUGCAAUUUUGAGGUGCACAAUUGCUUAUGCAUCACCUACUUGUUAAAUUACAAUCUUCAAUUCUUGCAACAUUAGCUGCUUCUACAAAGUUGCAGACUGAAGCUGCAUCAUUCGUCUUUCCCUGAGGCAUGACAAGUAACAAUUAAUUUUUUAUGUUUCUAAAAAUAUUUUAGAAAGCAGUAAAGAGAAAAAAUCCAAAAGAAUUAGUAGUAGUAAAGUUAACAUAUAACAAUAGUAUCAUUCACUAUAAUUGUUUAAAAUCCAAAAUAAAACUAUGAUUGGUCCAUUAACAUCCUUUUGGAAAAAAAAAAAAAGGAGAAUUAGUAACAAAAUUGUAGCAAUCGACCUUAAGACCCAGGCUUUGUUUCCCUUAACUUAGAUGUCUAUCAGAACUUACAACAUUGUCGCAUUUGUAAUCAGUUGUUUCGUUCACUUCUUAGCUUGCAAACACCCCAAAAAAAUCGGACAUUUUGUAUUUUUUAUGUUUCUAAAAAUAUUUUAGAAAGCAGUAAAGAGAAAAAAUCCAAAAGAAUUAGUAGUAGUAAAGUUAACAUAUAACAAUAGUAUCAUUCACUAUAAUUGUUUAAAAUCCAAAAUAAAACUAUGAUUGAUCCAUUAACAUCCUUUUGGAAAAAAAAAAAGGAGAAUUAGUAACAAAAUUGUAGCAAUCGACCUUAAGACCCAGGCUUUGUUUCCCUUAACUUAGAUGUCUAUCAGAACUUACAACAUUGUUGCAUUUGUAAUCAGUUGUUUCGUUCACUUCUUAGCUUGCAAGCACCCCAAAAAAAUCGGACAUUUUGUUACUAAGUGAGGACUCAAUCAAAUGCAGUCCAGCAGUUGCUUUCAUUAGUAAUGUCAUAAGUUCUAAAAAACAGAAUGGAACUUUAUCAUAGACCAAGAUUCCCAUUCACUACUCAGUUCUAGAAUAUUUGUUUUGCAACUGUUCAACGUGCCAAUUGACUUUUUAGUUUCCACUAUGAUACAAUUUUCUCAAACCCCUGAAAAUGGCACAAAAUCAUAGAUUACAACAAACAAAAUCAUUGCCAAAUUACUGAUAUUCAUAUAAAUGAGGUUAUUUCUUUUUUUCUUAACCUAUUCUUUAUAAAACUUCUGUUUAUUGGAUGAACCAAAUAACAGAAUUAAAGCCUCUGCUAUGGUGGGGUAAAAUGUCACCCCCCUCUCCAAAAUUUUGUUUCUGACUAUCUAACUGGCAUCAAUGUGCUUAAUGUGUGUAUAUCAAGACCUCCCGUGCCAAAAGACCAAGAAAUCCCAAUCUGGGGAAAGAAAAGGCCCUUUCAAACUAACAACAUUUAGUGGUUUCUUUGAUCUUAAUUUUUUUAGUGUUAGCAAAUAAUUACGUUUUAAAGAAUCAAUUGAUGAGAAAUAAGCUUCCUGGAUCAUGGGAUAGAUAGAGAGGAAAAAACUACAAAUUUUUCGUGACUUUUGCUUCAAGUUGGAAGAUUUUGGUGGGAACUGGCUGGGAUAAAAUCAUUAAAAGGUUAAAGAUACAACGGACAAGGGAAACAAAACUAACUAAAUUCUUGCAUAAAUUACCCCGUCAGAAAGUACUACUGUUUGCAUCGAGCCUGAAGCAUUUGAAGUGGCAUCUGUUCCUGAAUCAACUAAAGAUAUUUCACUACCUUUAACCUGUAAAAGGAAUCAAACUGCUGUAACAUGCAGUGCAUAGCUAGAGGAUGAUCAAAGAUGGAAGAAGGUUGGUUAACAAACAAAAUCACCUUAGUUGAAAAUAAUUUUACUCCAAAAUCAUCAUAAUCAGAUGAACUUAUAAUUUUCCUCGAGUAGAGUGCAUCUCCAGAGUGAACCAGCUGCAACAGGAAAUUGGCAAUCAUAUAAUAUUUGAGAUAUGGGAAUCUUAGAUAUAUGAAGGCAUUAGCUGUAAGAUACAAAUUAUUACAAUAAAAAGGAAUCAAUAUUGCUACAUAAGAAAAAAUAUCAACAAAGAAAAUGAUGGACAUUUUGCUCAGUGCCAAACAACUGGAAUCAAUUACUGACUAUGAUCAUACUUUCAUGAUAUCUAAGUCACUCCAGGGCCCCUUGUUUGAUCUCAUACAUCCACCUUCAUUCGAGCAAGAACACGUCCCACCAAGAAAAUAUGGCAAUUGGCUGUUUAAGAAGAAACUAAUAAAAUUUAGAAAGAUAACUAAACUAAUUUAGCACUACAGUAAUAAUAAAAAAGAGAUUCUAACCUUGCGUCUAUAACCUCCAACAAUUUAUUAUGAAAAGCAGUACCUAGUACCUAUACAGAUAGCCAAGACAAACAAUUUCUUAUCAGCUCAGACACCUUCAAUGGUAAAAAAAAGGAAAUUAUCAAUAUCUUUGUACAUGUAUCUUUGAAGUAGUCUUGGGAUCAAGAAAGCCUUUGGCUGUGUUCCAAAGCAGUUUGAAUCCAUUGCCAGCAUUAACAAUGUACAUUUGAUGCAAUGUCUGUUUAAUAUAAGGUAGUGUUAGUAACAUCACUAAGCAUGGCAACCAAUAACUUGGAUCACUUUUUCUUUAUUUUAGCAUACUAAUUAAGCCACCUCAGGGUAGUUGUCACCAUCAAUUUUCUGCAUGCGCAUUACAAGAUCAUGGGCAACCUUGCCAAAGCUCAUCCAGUUCUGCAUAAUCAAGAGAAAAUAAGAAAUACUGUGUGCAAAUCAUGUAAUAUGCAGAACUUGAAAGAUACUGACAAUUCCCUGCACAUCCAGUAUAGUUGUUGUAGAAUCUAUGUGCCUCUUGGCUGCAAUUGAACAUGCUGGAAAUUUCUCAGCAAAAGCCUUCUCAAACCCUUGAACAUGAUAUCUUAAGAACCGGUCCACUGUGGUAACACUCAUUAGCUUGCUGGGGUCAAUUUUACCAAUCCGUUCAAUAUAAACAGGUCGACCAUCUUUGUCUACGCCAUGGUAACCAUGAGGAUAGCAAAACUGAACCUCUUCAUACUCAUCAUAUACAAAAUCCUGAGCCAUGAGUCAUAAGAUGCUGGUGAUAUAUUAAAGUAAAUGACUACCAAAGACAGAAAAUUGAAAAAGAAAAAAGGGUUUCCAUGGAUCAGCAAUGGUUUCAUAACGUGACAGAAAUUCUANNNNNNNNNNNNNNNNNNNNNNNNNNNNNNNNNNNNNNNNNNNNNNNNNNNNNNNNNNNNNNNNNNNNNNNNNNNNNNNNNNNNNNNNNNNNNNNNNNNNNNNNNNNNNNNNNNNNNNNNNNNNNNNNNNNNNNNNNNNNNNNNNNNNNNNNNNNNNNNNNNNNNNNNNNNNNNNNNNNNNNNNNNNNNNNNNNNNNNNNNNNNNNNNNNNNNNNNNNNNNNNNNNNNNNNNNNNNNNNNNNNNNNNNNNNNNNNNNNNNNNNNNNNNNNNNNNNNNNNNNNNNNNNNNNNNNNNNNNNNNNNNNNNNNNNNNNNNNNNNNNNNNNNNNNNNNNNNNNNNNNNNNNNNNNNNNNNNNNNNNNNNNNNNNNNNNNNNNNNNNNNNNNNNNNNNNNNNNNNNNNNNNNNNNNNNNNNNNNNNNNNNNNNNNNNNNNNNNNNNNNNNNNNNNUCCAACCUGCAGUUCUUUGACUCAAUGCUGUUGUGAGUCCUAUAAAGUAUUGAGCUAGAAAUCCACAUUAAAAAUCCAAAAAAAUAGCAACUAUCGUAGAUAAACUUGUGAACAACUUUGACAUUGUAAAAAAACAACUAAUGUACCAAUUUAUGUUUGCGAAUAGAGAGAUCAAUCAACUGUAUCAGUGAAACAAACAUUCAAGCUGUUUCCAGCACCAAGCUGGGUUCAGAUAAUUAUUAGGUGACAUUGUAGCAGCCUAGAAAAUACUGAUUUUCUCUCUACAUACUUGAAUUUCCUUUAAAACAAACUCAAUAAUUUAUCAGCUUCUCAUGUCUUCCAAGUUCAUUUACAGUCAUAACUUAUAGGAGCUCUCAUGCAUACCGAUCCUCGUGUAGCUUAUGGAAAAAAUUAAUGAGGAGAAUGCUAUGCAAAUGGAUGAUCACUUGAUCCCCUUACUUCAGGUUAAUCAAACACGAAUAUACCAUAGACAUUGAUCAAAUUGUGCACACAUAUACAAAUGUAUUAAUAUGAUAACAUAUACCAUUACCUCAACAUAGUGUGGUAAUCAUCAUGACGAGCCAGAAGAAAAUCUUUGGCAAUCAAUGCUUGUCGAAAGGCAUUUACAGCUUUCUCCUCCUCUGUGUCCCUGACGUCUUCAAUAGAAAUCCCUGCAUAUCGGCAAUCAGCGACUCGGUUUGUGCGUUUUUUAAGACUAUGCGUUAGUUUUGUUGAAGCAUUCGCUGCUCUUCUCCUUAAAGAUCUGGCUCGAGUUCUUCGCUUUUCGUCCUCUGAUGUAUUGAUAUCGAACAAUUUACCCCUCUCAUUUUCUUCAAUCGAAACUAUUUCUCCUAAAAUUAAAAACCCAUGAACUCAAUUGCAAUUUGAUCGCGGACUUCAAUCUAGAUUUUGGUAAAACUAAUGCGCCAAAUUACCUGGCAUUGGGUGCAAUCGGUGCGAAAUUCGUAUUGAACCUUUAUCUGCAUUAAUAAGAUAAAUGAAGAAAACUAUGAAAUCUUCGAAACAGUUCAAAAGAUAAACGAAGAUCCUGGUGAUCCGCAAGAUUACCAGAUGAAACUCGUUGAUAUCGGUAUAGCAAAGAAACAGAAAUAAAGGCGAUCUUUGACGUUAUUAUUAUUCAAAGCCGAUUAAAUGAGCACGAAAUCGAACACAAACAGAUCCAAGAAGAAUAUAAAUUCGAGGAAACGUUUGAUCAAUUCAAGAAAAUUCAAUGACGAUAUUAACACAUCGGUAGGAAAAAAUAUUAAACGAAUCUAAAUACCUUGAACGAAACCGCAAUCGCACGAUUUAAUUUUGUGUUGGUAGAUAUAUGUGUGUUUGUGUGUAUAUAUAGGUUACAUGGAUAUUUCAAUCAACAAAAAAAAAAAAAAGAAAAAGAAAAGCUUACAGGGAUACGAGGCAGGCUUUCUCUCUCAUCACACAGAAGGUUGCUUUCGAGUUACGAACCUCAUCUCUCUCUGUCUCUGUCUCUCCUCAGGUAAAAACUUUUUCUCUCUCUGAAAUGAUAAUAGUAAGGAAAUACGUCUUAGUGUAUUAUAUGUAGUUAGCUGCGGAACGCACCGCAGCUGGGUAGCUUUCGGUUAGGGAGAAGAUGAUCGUUUUGAAAGAGGCAUUUGUAAGAGAGGGAGCGUGAAACGGCCGCUCUGUUCUGCUUCCGUCAGGCAGAGUGUAAGUAAAAGUCAAGGGAGAGUCCGUAACUGAAUGUUUGCCGUUUGUUGACGGAGUUUGCGAAGCGAAAGGUAGUAUUUCUUUUCUUUUUUCUUUUUUUUAUUGAUUAGAAAAUAUAUAAAAAGUUUUAGGCAGAUGCUGUAAACCGGCUGUUUAUUAUGGGCGCAUGAAAUUAAAUAAUAUUAUAAUAAUCUUUUUAAGAGGGGUGGUUUGUAAUUUGAAGAGAAUUGGUUGACACGUCUGGACCCACUUGCAGUUUUCCAGGUGGGCCCGGUCGGUGAGUCAGAUGUACGGAGGUAUUCAUGAUUACACGUGGCACCAUAAGAUGCCCAAUUGUUUUCUUCUAUUGCAAAUACACUGCUCGGCAACAUUUGGUUAAAUACAUAUAUACAUAUAUAUACGUGCGUAUACAUCUUUAUACAGGAAGGCAAACAUCCUGGGUUGUUAUAGUAUAAGAUUUUUGUGCCUCUAGGAAAAAAAGGAAAUAUUUAAUGUCAUGUGAUAAGUUGAUUAAAAUAUUUAAGUAAAUACAACAUUAAAAAGUAUAUAUUGAGUUAAAGUAUUGUUGUAAUUUUUUUUUUUCGAUAACAUGUGAGAAAAAUAAGUUUAUUGUUAUGGGAUUUAAAAAAAUAAAAAUGAUUUGAGUUAUAUAUAAAUAUGUAAGUUGUGGUUUAUUUUUACUUAUUAGGCACCUAAGAUGGUAAUAAUUAAAUAGAAAAAAGUAUGUACAAAAGAAGUUCGUGUACAUUUUAAAUUUUGGUGGAGGAUUAAAAGCCACAUAAUUCAUCAUAAUUAGUUAAAUUAAAAAAGACUAGUAAUAACUGUAUCUCAGGUUAAAAAAAUAAGGGUACAUUUGUAGCUUAUCAUUUAAAAAAUGGUUAAUUUAUAAAAUUAAGAAACAUUAAAAUAAAUAGAGAGUGGGGCACAGACGCCGGCUUUGGGGAUUGGAGAAGUGCUUUGACAAAUUACUUUCGGUCAACUCCUCCAUUCACGCAGUGACAUGUCCGGAUUCAGUCACAAACAGUAGAAACGGCGCGGCUUUCAUGCUUGGAAAACACCGUCUUCCGCCGUCAACCGGCGCUACCUCCCCAAUAAUAUAUUCAUUUCAUUCUUUUACAUGCUUAAUUAAAUAGUACAGAACUAUACCGCCAUUCAUUGAGCAUUAUUUUUGUUGAAAUAAUGAUGAUUCAUUUUUAAAACGCCUUUUGUUUUUUGUUUUUUUUUUUUCCCUCUGUUAAUCAAUCAAUCCACCAGUACUGUAAAACGAGAAUAUUUCUUUUUUUUUUUUUUUUGUUGUUACAGUAAUGAUUGUCAGAGAACAAAAGUUCCUUUUGUUUAUGGCCUUGGGAAGAAAAAGGUGGUGUUGACAAUUCAAAACCAUUUAUUCCAUCCAAACGCUGUGUAAAUUGUAAAGAUUGUGAGUAACACAUGCUUUCAGACGGUGGGCACGUGUCGUCUGAACUGGAUUUGACUGUCAUGGAAUCAUUGUUCCUCUUUGAUUAUUCAAAUUUCGGACUAGUCAUUCUUUUCUUGGUAUGCUUUUGCAUCUAAAUUCACUGAUCAUAAACAAUUACAACGACAAUUCUAUUUAUCACAAUCAAUCAUCAUUUAAUUUUAAAUUACAAUCUAACAAGAUUUACCCUUUUCGAGUAACUGUCCCCUUUCUUUUUUUUUUUUAUGGGCAAACUGGCAGAAAUGGAGGCAGGUAAGAAAGACUGUCAAACUGGAAAGAUAGAGAGGAAAAAGAACUCAAAGAUAGAGUCGUCGUGUUCUUCAUUCAAACUGUGGGUAAUGAUUAUUCUAAUAACAAAACGAUCAUUAUAUCUUUACCACUUAUUCUUCUUUGGAGAAUCAUUACAUGUAUAUUAUAUGUAUGUGUUUGUGUGGAAAAGAAAAGAGAAGAAAAUGAUGACAGCAAGUUGCUGUGGAAUUUCAUUUAGACCCAAAUGAAGUUGCAAAACCAACACCAAACAAAAGCCGAACCUGAAGGCACUAUAAAGAUUAUUCUUGUCGUUACUCACAUGGCCUGUAUGCUUUCAAUUGCUUCCCCUGAUAUGCUCUGGGACCUGCUUCUACUCAAGCUUACCUGAAAUGCAACGCAUCAUCAUCAUCAUCAUCAUCAUCAGCAGCAGCAGCAGCAGCAAUGGCUAGCCAGUAAGCAUCAGCCAUGGCAAUUUGGACAGUGGUCAAUAAUAACACAAGACUAACACAUUGUGGCAGUGAUCGUGAUUCUUGCAUCUUACAGAGUGUAACACAGAGAUGGAUCUUGCUAUGGGAUUCAGUUUCAUUUUACAUACAUGUAAAAUAGCAUUCAUUAUACCUUCAGCACGGCAUAAUCUAAAACCAAUCAAGUUGCCAAAUAUAUUCAGAUAGUGGUAAAAUCUAUGAUGCCUCAGGAUAAUCUUCUAAGGUUUCAUAGUCAUUUACCUAGAAAGUUAGUAAACUUAUAUAUCACACAACAUUAAGUAAUUACUAACUCACUAUGAAAUGUUAAACUUACUGAGAAAUGUGCUAUCUCUGAUGCACCACAGUAACAUCCCCAACAUGCAUACCUCCUCAUUUGAGGACUAUGUUAGGAAUUGCAGGAACCUAGUUUGACCACUUUCUGAGUGUUUUCAAGACACAUGGCAUUAGCAGAAACAAGAAAACAAGCCAAAAUAAAACAUUCAUAUUUCAGCAUUUUACAGUCUAUUGUUCAAUUCAUGCUCUGUUCAUUGGUUAGAUUAUUCUUGAUAAUAUCCAAUUGAAUUUUAAGUUUUAUAUCUGAAUGAAUUUCACUUCUACUCCUAGCCUGAUUUCCUUAGAGAAUAGAUUUCUAUCUCAUUCCUUAUCAAGAACAAACUAGAAAUCAUCUCCAAACAAUUACUCACCAAGUAAGAAUCAGAAAUUAUCUCCACAUAAUACAAAGUACGAACUAAAAUGAUUCAUGACAAAAGUUAUAACCAAAAUUUACAUGUCACGGAUAUACUCUCAACUGAUUUAUUGGCAAGUUCAUUCUUUCUUCAUCGACAAAACAAUUCCCUCAGUUCCAAUCAAACCACUCCUCUACAUAGAUAUGUUGACUGGUCUUCAUUGUACAUGAGAAAGCAAUUUGUCAAUCUCCAUAUCAAUUUCCUUUCUCUAGUCCAUAAACCAUCUCCAACUCCAGAAAAUCUGUUCAAUUUUAAACUUUCUCCCUCUCUGUCAUUCAUUCACUUAAUGUCUCAAACUGAAAGGAAAUAGGAAAUCCAAAGCAUCUCAUUUCCAGUGCUCAUAAUAUAAAUAAACAGAUAAUAUUUACAAACUACAACUAACUAUAUUGACUAGCAGUCCAUUAGUUUCAUAUUCUAGGCAUUUUCUAGGAACUUCAAGGAAAGAAAAACAAUAGGGAUUGGGGGGACAGGAUGGCAGAGAAUUAUAAUAUGGUCAGUGACCAAGAAUACACACCUUCUCUCACACCAUAGUAAUCUAAAUUGGGUAAAUUAAAACUGUACAGGUAAAGAAAGCUCCUCUAUGGGCUCUCUUACCUGCUGAAUCUCUCGGAGUUGAUUCAUUAUCUCCUCCAUGAGCUUCAAUUGUGCGUUCACCCUUUCUCUAUGUUCGGCAGUAAAUGUCAACUUUUCCUUUUCCUCCUGAACUUUUCGCAGCCUUUCCCUGAGCCAAUCAACUUCAGAAUCAAGCUUCAGUCUUUCAUUACUGAUUGUUGAAGAGUUCCUGUUUACUGAACUACUAGACAUUCCUAACCUGCCACUCGUACUCGAACUGCUUCUGGGAAUGUCAGGCUUAGUCUUUGUCAUGUUUCUAAUAUGGGAAUCACAUAAUGGUUCAUCAUUCCAAACCCCACAACCUGAAGCAACGCAGUUCAACCGUCCACUUUCUCUUUCAUUCACCUCCCACAGUUCAGCUUUAUCAUCAAUAACAUGGACAUCAUAGACAAUAGGUUCUUUAUCAAGAAUGGGACCAUGUUCACUGAGCCAUACUUGAACCCCAUAUUCACCAUCUUUCUCUUGACAAUCUUUGUCCUGAGAAAGAUUUCUCUCAAUGGCACCACUAGAUUGGACCGCUCCAGUAGUUAAUCCUUCAUAUACUUCCUUAUCAUCUUUUAUCACUUCUUUCCUCUCAACACUGUGCAGAUCAUGGUUAUCAGGACUUAUCUCAUAAGAAUCUGAACUCUUCUCCCACAUCUGCACCAAACCUUGUGAAGCGGAGGAAUCUAGAUCUUUGCUUCUUGGUGCUCCAGGUUUCGCAAAAGCACAAGUUUGAUUCAAUUUGUCAGCAGAGGAAGCCUCAAGAUUUGAUAACCAAUUUCCCAUUUCCUUACUGUUCUCAGUAUGCUGUAUCACCAGAGCUGGAUCUUCAUCCAAAACAGGAGAAGGGGAAAGCUCUCUUUCUCCUUUAUUAAUUAUACAACUAAAUUCACCUUCGGAUGGUUCAUUUCUUAAAUCAUUCAUCUGUCUGUAAGCUCCAAGUUCUUUCUCCAGAAAAUGAAUCUCUCUCUCCCUCCUAACGAGGAUCUCUUUCAAAAUGUUCAUCUCUUCUUCAUCAUAUGCAUAUUUUUCCUCCAUCAUCCUUUCAUACUGCCUUGAUUCCAUUUCUAAGGAAGCUUUGUCCUCUUGCAGGCGCAGAAUCAUGGCCAUCGCUUCAUCAGCAGCAGUUGCAGCAGAAGCCCUCUCUUCCUCCAAUUCCAUGUAAAGAGCAGCACAGGCAGCUUUUUCUCCUUGAAGAGCCUGUUCCAACAAUCUGAUCACAUUCUUUUCAUCUCCAGAAAUCCCUGGUGUACCUUCAGCCUUGGACAUGGAGCUUUCAACAGAAGAUGAAUCCUUCUCUCUUCUAUCAGCCUCCAAAUAUGAACCAUUCAGUUCAAAACCAUUCCAGCCUCUCUCAUCCAAGUCACUGCUAGUUGCUGCAUUUUUCUCAUCUAACAUAUAGCACCAGCUAAAAGGUCAGUACACAUUUAGAGCUAAUAAGUUUACAAGCUCAUGAUGACAACAAAACAAGUCCCCUACAACCAUACCUUCAACCUUCUAUAAAAGAUACAUUAACAUUUGCACUUGAGAUCUUGAAUAUUGUUUAGAUCCAACUUGCUUAAAGUAAAAACUAAAAUCUAUUGUGGAAAGCACAACAACAUGCACAAACACACACAUAUUGAUCAGAACUCAAAGAGGUCAGCUAAACUUUAUUUGAAUGAAAAUCCAAAAAGACCUUGAUUUAGAUUGUGUCACUCACCCUGAAGAACAUCAUCUAUUUCACUCACAGGGCCUCGACUUUCAAUGAUUUCGCCGUCACUAAUAGAUGUGGAACCACCAGCUACAACUGACUGCAUGGCAUCAGAUGGCAAAAUGGAAGAGGACUUUCCAUAUCCAAAAUUAGCUCUUCUUCGACGCCUAUUUGCAACUCUUUGCUUCUGAUUCAUAGUUUUCUUCUCUCUAACAUCACACCCACUUUCUUUAUCAGCUGAUUUUUGCACUUUUGGACCAGGAAACGAACUAGAACAGGAUUCAUCAUUCAACUCAAGAAGGCCAGUUUCACAUUUGUUGUCUGUUAAUAACUUCAGAUUUGAUUGGUGCUCUUGAUCCUCAAAACAAAUCGAAUCAAAAGAAAAACUAUUCUUGGCUAAAUCUUGAACAGAAAGGAUAACACUUACUGGCCAAUCAAUAAGUAGUUUAUGCAAGCACAACUCACAACAACGGAACCCCAGGAACCCAGUACAGGGACAUGGCAAGGGCAGACCGAAAAGAUGCAAGAAUUUUGAAAUGAAAAACGCAAUAGUCGAUCCACAAAGAAGAAAAUAAGCAAGAGUCAGGUCAAGAUAAGCGCAUAUGAGGCCAACCAAAGUCCAUGAAUGGUUUGCUCGGAAAGCCAUUGCUAUUCAUGAAAAUGCUUAAGAUAACAACUGGAUUUCGGUGGAACCUUAAAUAAGCAACCGGUGAUCACCAACACUUGGUCAAACAAAAAUCAAACACCCGCAAAGGAAACUGCAAAGUCUGCAAUGAUAUGCGUUCCAUAAUUACUACUCACCGUCAGAAAAAACACUACAACUCUACGGAAUUCGAAGUACCAUGGUGCAUAAGUGAGUAUAUACUUCUUAAAGCCAAAAUAGAUAAUAGCUAAAAUUGAGGAUCAUUAGAGUAAAAAUCCAAGGAAAAAAAAAAAAUAGAGAAGGAAUCCUCGUACAGAGAAAAUACCAAGCUAAAUUUGACCGGAAAUUUCAGUAACAACUACAAAACCCGUGAUCUUUUCUGUUUUUUUUUUCCAGAGACAAUAAAGCUGGGUUGUCGAUCAUAAGCUCAAAGACGAUCACCAAAUUAGUGAUUAUCCAUGCUACAAAAAGUUUAGUUCAUUUGGAAAGGGGAUAAAAAAGAGAAGAAGAACAAAGCAAAACCUGGAAUUUUUAGAGCAGCUUCGAGAUUUGUGACGAGCUCGUGGAAGUGAAGAGAAUGAGAAAGGGAUCAUGAAAACCGACAGAGAAUGGCUGAAGCUGAAUUUGAUUAUAGAAAGAAGAGCCUUUUAUGGAUUCUCCACGUGGGCAAGAUUAGCCUCUUAUACAGCUCCCUCAGAGCCGCGAAGCAACCUACUGGAACCAGACAUAAACCGUCACUUUCACGGCGUUGAAUGUUAUCAGGUGGAAAGUAAGCGCCAUUACACUAGGAACGGCGUCGUUUUGUUCAUUUACUAGUAACUUCCACUCCACUCCGUUGUUCUCUCCCUCCGUCGUCUUCCACCCGUAAAUCUCUCUUCCCCGAACAAGUUUGGUGAGAUCAUAGGCUCACUAGAGAGGAGGAAGAGAGGAUAGAAAUGAAUAGAAUUUUAAUAACAAAAAAUUAAUUUAAAAUGGCUUAAUUAAUUUUAAUUAGUCUUCUUUUUGUAAUAAAAUGAGAUUAUUCGGUGUAUACGUAAUUAACUAUAAAUAGAAAGUAGCAUUUAGGCAAGCUCGGUUUAGUGCGGGUUGUUUGGUUUGGAACGUAAUGAUAGUUUAAUAAAAUAAAGUAAAAUGAAAUAAUUAUUUAAUGAUAUAAAAUAUAAGUAAUUAUAGUUAUGUUACUCUACACGAGUGAAGUUAUAGUUUUGCAGGCGAUUAUAAAAAUAAGGAGAAAUUAUAAUGAUUAUUUAAACAGUGAAUAAUGAAAAUAUAUUUACUUAUAUAAUUAGAGUUGUAAAGUCAUAUUUAAGCUUCUUAAUUGUGCUUAACAUUCGGUAAUCAUUUAUUUGGUAAAAUAUAUAUUUAAAUAAAAAUAUUAUAUUAUAUUAGUUUUACAAAUAUAUUCUUUUACAUAAAUAAAAUUAAUUUCAUCAUGCAUCAGUAUGUCAGUAUAUUAAUUUAUUUUUGAUUUUUUUUUUAUUUUAAAAAUUUGAGGAGUAUCUGCGAAAUCCAGACACUAAAAAUAACAGUAUAUUCGUUUUCAUUCCUUCAGUCUGUUCACUUAAACCAUUCACGCCAUGCCACAUGGACCUAAAACCAGAACCUGCUGAUUUCCUCGCCUCAUUUCUUCUCUGCUCUUAACCACAUAGCUCCGAAACAUAUGUCUUCAAUGGCGGCGGUUUUCGUUAAUGGAUUUUUCUUAAACCCUCCUAAACCGGUUCAUACACCCUUCAAUCGACGACCCUUAAUCGAUGCGAGUUCUUUCAAUGUCCCUCGUCGGGUUUCCUCCGACAACUCUGCAUACAUAUUGGUUUCUCAGUUCCGUAGGUCAUCUAAUUCCAGGUAUAUCCAUUAUUCGUUCCCCUUUUUUCUUUACUUUCCAUUGUUUAUACUCGUUAUCAAAAGGACUAAAGGAAGUGAAAACUUGGAAGAAGGAUUUGGCGAGUGCGGUGUUCUUCCAUGAUCCCUUGGUUUGCUUUGCGUAAUUGAAUAAAUCACGUCUACUUAGUCAUUUUCAUUCGUAUCGUUGCAUUCGUCGAUGUGGUUUUCUUGUUAUAGCAGGUGAUGAAGUGUUGGCAUUUGCUUUACUAGUCAUUUCUAAAGGAAAAAGCCAGUAACUAGCUUUUAUUUUAUUUUUCUUUUUAACGAUAGGUUAGUUGUUUCCUGAUCAAAGCUUGGAUGUAUAAUGACUUAUUAUUAUUGGAUUUUUGAAGCUGGGACUUGUGAGCCUUUGGUUAUGAAUUAGACACUUAAUAAAAUUCCUUCAUUUUUUCUGGAACAUUUUAAAGAGUCUAUCAGUGCAUUGGAUUAUAAACUUAAUAUCAGGAGAAGUAUGAUAUUAUCGGAGAAAUGGUGACUGCUUGAUUAAUUGCUACUGUUGAGUUUUAUCUUCCUAUAUAAAUCUGGAGGCUAUCAAGUUGUGCUCAUUGCCGGCUGGGUUUUGAUGGAAAAUGUCAUAGUAAAAAUAAUAAAUGGUUCAAUUAAUUGUUUUACAUGGUAUUGGAGCAAAGGGGCAAAGUUUCCAAUACAGAUUGAGGUCCAAUACUGAUUUUCACUUCACUUAUUUUAAUUAAAUCUCCGCACAAGAAAUAAUGGCCUUGUGCUUAACCUAUACUUUCAGCUUCGUGGUUCAGAAUAACUGAUCCAAUUAAUUAUUUCAAGGAAGGAAAGAUGAAUAGGACUGUGAAACAACUAAUCUAGAACCCUGUGAUUGCAUCCAAGAAAAUUAUGCUCUUUGUACUUUAUGAAAUUUCCUCUCAAAUAGAUUUGCCUUAUUAUCUUUGAGAUUUCAUAUGUAAGAUGACUUGUAUCUCAGUAGCAAUUCUUGUAGUAUAGCCGAAUGCCACCUUGCAACUGAUUAUUGCAUAACAUAAAUGUUUAAUGCAUCUCACAAUCAUACAAGCAGGAUAAGAAGCCUUCAGGACGAGAAUACUAAUAAAGAUAACCCAGAGGAAAAACAGGAGGUUGCAGAGGUACCUGAAGAUCAAAACAUAGGUGCUGCUAGUACAGGUAGUUCAUUUCUGGCAAAAUUAUCAAUUGCCUUGGUUGUAGCGGCAACUAUCACGGUCAUAUCCAUUGGCUUCAAGCCAUCUGGUCCUGGAUCAUCACUAGGAGUUCAAUGUCUGGCUGAAGGUUCAUCAACUUUAGCCAUGGCUUCCCCUGUUGGUUUCACGUUCAAGGCUUUUGGAUAUAGAUUUGUAAUUCCAGAAUAUGCGCCAGGGUAUGUGCUCCUAGUUCUUAAUUUUCCCAGGAUGUUCGCUAAAUGUUAUAAUUAGAGCUAUUUCCAAGUCCUUUGUCCUUAAUUCAUUAAUAAACUGCAUUUCUUGGUCUAUCUCUCUCUCCCCUCCUCCCGCCUCUUCUUUUCAAAGCUAAAUAUAAACAAAUUCCAAUGCAAUUUCUUGAUAUUAAUAAUGGUUUGGGUACCACCUGAGAGGUGGCUGCAAUGGUAGAAAGUCCAUGAUUAAGGACCUUGCGAGUCCAAAAUCUUGCUUUUCAGCUGUCGAUAGCUCUACUUGUUGCUCGGGCAGUCUCAUGCCGUUGCGUUUGACAUAGUCCAAAAAAAAGACAAAAAAACAGCGUUUUAGUAAAAAAGCAGUCAAAUUGAUCUCCCCUCACCCCCAAAUGUAUUCUAUUAAAUAAACUGCUUCUGCUCAUUUUAUCAGAUUCAGAUUCAUACUGUCAAAUUAUGUGCUUGGCUCUUAAAGUCUCAAUCUUCUCAGGGCAUAUGUAGUCUUAGAGCUGUUUCCAAAUCCACAAUUGUUAAAUCAACUGCUUCUUUGAAUGUUUUUUUUAUUUUGCUUUUCUUAAUUGAAAACUUUCAUGGUUCAUGAAAAUAAUGGUCAUUUUUCUCCUCAGAUGUAUAUUGAAUAAAAUGGUUCUGAAGAUUCUUGUGCAAUACCCCAUUGCAGAUGGAUCUACUUCUGGUUGCUUAUGGCUGCAGGAUGUGGACUUUUUAUUAGCGAAGAGGCUCUAAAUAUAUGGGUCUGUGCUUUGUGCUGGUACUUCUGUUUCACUGACUCAAGCAUUUGCUAUGACUCACUAUGAUAGGUUUUGUUUUAUUGUCAAGGACUGCCAUUCCUUUUAGAAUUGUAAGGACUGCCAUUCCUUUUAGAAUUGUAAUUCUUUUGAACUUUAUGGUGAAUUUUCUCGCAAAUGUAGGUUGGUGUAUCUUUCGCGAGGAUGCUCUCAUUUGAUGGCACAUGGCAGUCCUUUAUUGAAUCUUUCUCCAGAAAUGCUCCUUACAUAGUAUCAACUGUUCUGUGGGUAUACUGGUUAGUUAUAACUCAGUUUUCUGUUAAGUUCUUUCCUAUCUGGUUGUUUCAUGUCAAUUUUUGUUAGUAGAUAGUGCAAAUGGUGAGGGAACCUUCUCUAGCGAUAAUAACAUGUUAGAGUUCAGACUUCACCACGUGAUUUUACCAGGCUUCAAGGCUUAAAUUUGUGUAUUAAGGUGAAAACUAUAGCUAGCAACCUUCUUGCUUAAGCAAUCUGAACCCUGUUUGCUUAUAUAUGUGAAUGAUUUUGUGUACAAUCCACCUACAAGCUGCUCAUGGAGAAUCCUAUUUUCUUAUUUUUGUUUCUUUUGGUUUCUUUUCCCAUUUCCUGUUGUGUUUCUCUUUUUAUCUUCUCUUUUUCUUCUGCUUAUCUUUUCUGCUGAGUCACUACAGCUUUGGGAGUUCUGAUUAUCUUUAUGUCAUGAUGACUUGAAACUGCAGGGGAGUUUGUAUAAGUGAUAUGAUACCAUUUUACCUUGGGAAGCUUUUCAGGCAAAGUGGGGCAUCUGAUGAUGUCUGUUCAAAGGUUUUUCCUAUCAACUGGCUUCUUUCAUAGAAGGUCUUCAGGUUUACUGAACAUAUGCAUAUGUUUGCAUGGAUCCAUUAAUCUUGAUGAUUGGUUAUGAGCCAAAAUGCAUAUAUGUUUUUUUCCCAGUAAUGAGUCAUGCAUUUUUGUAAUAUUCAUGAUGGCUGCAGUUAGGGAUUGGGAAAGAAAAAGCAACAAGCAUCACACGCGUUGUUCAAAGAUAUGGCAAUCUUGUAGGUGUUGGUGAGUUAUCAGGCUCAUGUUCUUAUUUCUAUAUGUUUUGUUCCCAUUCAAAAGGACAAACUGGUAUGUUCAAACUAUGUGAGUAUCUUGCAUGAUCAUAUGAAAUAAUCUGCAACCAUAAUGCCCAUCAAAAUGGAAAGUGAGCUUUUAAAUUUUCAGGUCAUUUUCCUUUUAAAACCUUGUGCCCAAUCACAUGCCUCUCUGGGGGCAUCAACUGCAUCUUUCCCCUUUAUUAUUUUUUCCUUCUCUCUACAACAGUUUUUUAACUCUUGGAAAACAGGACUUACUGUUACAAAUGAUGAUCUUUCUGCUUUAUCUGUCCUUUAUGUUUUGACUAGUGUAAUUAAACCAGAUACAGUAAAUAUAUUUGUAUGCUGAGUCUAGCAAAUAGCCAUUGUUCUAGCCCCAGUCAUUUCAUUAUAGUUCUACUUUUAGAUUUUAUUGGGAUCAAAUAGCCAUUGCUCAGGCACAUAAUAAACUUAAUGCAUUCUUAAACAUGCCUAGUUUCUUAAAAUGCUAGAAUGGUAUUUAGCUAAUUAUUCUUAUGUUUAUUGUGUCUGUCAUGCCCAUGGAUCUGGCACACUUGCACUAUGAUAUUCAAUUUUACUUCUCAUUAUCUUAUGAAUUAUGAUCUGCAGUUGAGCGAUUUUCUCUUGGAGUAAGAAAUCCUACUGCUUUUCUGGCUGGUGCCCUGGUAAAUAAUUGCUUGUUUUAUUAUUUAUUUGCUAGGGAUAUUUUCUGAUCUAAAAGUAUGGUUGGAUCUGCCCAUACGAAUGAAUUCUUUUAUUUAUUAAAGAGCGUGAGGUAGGAAAAUGUUAUAAGGAUAUAUGGGGCCGUGGAACGCCAAAGAAACAAAUCAAGCUCUCAUGAUGACAUAUUAAAACUGUCCAAGUUGUGAUAUUUUACUGCUAAUUGCCGAAUGCAUAGAUUUGAUAAUGUAUAUUCCAAAGCUAUACUGGGUUAGGAUAACCAAAGUAGAAACAUGUUCUGGGUAUGUCUUUUGACUUGAUAAUUCAGGUUACAGUUUAUAAUCUUAUCUCCAAAGAGAGUGAGAAAAUUUUGAAUUUUGGAAUUAGGAGAAAAUUUGCUUCAUAUACGCAAAUAAGUUACUUCUUUCUUAAAUGAAAGCCUCAAUUGCAUUAAGUAGAGGAAAGAGUGCUUAUGAAAGUAUGUCAUUAGUUGAUCUGAGAAAACUUAUUUUGCAUAUAUCCAACAUUUUCAGGGAUAUAGCCAUGUACAUAACACAAAGAAGGAAUAAUGCAUGAUAUCGAGUUAAAACAACAAACUUUUGCUGUUAUUUGAACCUGAGUUACAACAAUACUUUGAGGAAUGGUAUUAUUUGAUGAUUAUGAUAGUGAAGCUGGAUAUUUGUAUAUCAUUAUUUUUGUUGGAAGUAUGCACAUGAUAUAUUCUGAUAUCUGCUGCUUGUUAGAUAACAAGAUCUGUUCCUUUUAGUCAGAUGGUAUGAUCUCCAUAAUUUCUUCUGCCUAUGCAGGGUAUAUCUCCGGAUGUUUUUUUUGCUGGAGUUUGUUGUGGUGGCUUGAUUACUCUUCCAAUUCAGGUUGGUAUUGUUCUAUUUUAUAUAGAUAACAAUACAUGCAUGGAAAUAUUUGGUCUGAAGUCUUCAAAUUUUUUGUCUUUAAUACACCAUUAUCCCUGAGGCUACACAGGCACCUAAAUGCAAGUCUGUGGUAUCAAGGUAUUAGGGAUCAUGAUCGUAGCGCCCACUUUGCUAACUAAUUCACUUAUAAUCCGAACUUCCUACUUCAUACUCUGAAAAAUUAACUGAAAAGUUCAAUUAGUAAUCUGUCAGCUUCAGAUGCAAAGAACUUUGAUAAUACCAUAACUAUAUUCACUUGUGGUCUUGGGGUGGCUAAUGCUUCUUCAUUCAAUUUGUUUGCUAAUUCAGCUUGGAAUUGGAUUUCUUUUGAGGGAGAAUCCUAUACUUGGCAUUGCAACUGUUGCAACAGCAGUGGUAAAGAAAAUUCUUAUGCUGCAAGAGUUGCUAGAAUUGUAAAUUCAGGUGUCUAAUUUUAAGAUUCAUGCAGGGAAUUUGGACCAUCUUUCCUUAUGCUGCGGCUGCUGCAACAGCACUAUUCCUUUUUGUGCAACAGCGCUACUCUCCCUAGUCUAUCUAAAAUUUAUUGGCUGCUCCAAACAAUUACAUGAGAAAUGGAGCAUACCAGCCAUCAUUUAUUGGUUGGAUGGUAGUUGCAACCUUUGGUUGAAUAGAGAGAUAAAGUUUGAAAAUUGAUAGUUCUAUUGAUCUUCAAAUUCGAGCAUAGUUUAUCCAAGUAUCUUUUCUCAGUUAUGCAUGGGGUAGUUACUUGUCUAGUGGUCCAGGUAAAUCAGAUGCAAUAAGCAGCAAAAUUAGGUUAUAUAGUUCACUCUAACCUGAUUCCUUCUUAAGAUAUUUGUUCUCAGCUUGAUAUCUAUUUGUAUCAUCUUAUUGACAUACUAAUUGAUAUAUAAAUUUUUUUGUACAUGGGUUUUGCAUUCACUUGGUGCAUGUAAUUAAUAUACUGCGUACUUUUUAUUUUUUUAAAAAAAAUCUCUGUAUCGGUUGAUUGUUUUAGGGAGAGCAGUUAUUACGUGUCUGGAAAGAUAACUUAUCUCCAGUAAACUCGAAACAAGUUCUCGUUCAGAGUUGUACACUUUGAUUAGUCAAGCUAAAGACUUAGUGAGAGAAUUUUAAUUGGCUCGUUCAGUCCUCUGUAGCCUGGUGUGCUGCUGAAACUCUUAGGCAUGGGCUGCACUGCAUGGUGUGAAUCUUUAGUUUUUAGUUGUAGCUGGCAAAUUUCUAAAGAAGAGAAAAAAAUAGCUUGUUACUAGGAUUGCCAAAAAAAGUACACAUAUUCUUCCCAAAUACACCCAUCCUUCCCCAAAAUAUGUCUAUAAAGACUAAACUGACAACCUCCAUUAGAUAUAUGUACUUGUAAAAUUUGAAGGGACAGCCUCCCUAUUGUUUAUCUUCCAGUAUAUUACCUUAGACGCACCGUGUCUAACAUACCGGUAGUGUAAUCUGCAAAAGCCAACACUUUUUACAUAUUUGGCAGCUAAACUUAAGAUAAUACUUUUAAUUUGGUUGUGUACUUGUUGUGUCUCUAGUUAAUCAGCAUGCCCACGAGCAGCGAGAUAUGAAAGCUGAAUAGAGUAGGCUUCUUUCAACUCAGCCAGUACAUCUGCAAUCUUUGGCCUCCGCAAUGCAUCUCUCUCUACGGACCUUACAGCCACUGAGGCUGCCUUUUUCAUGCUCUCCACAUCAAAUGUCCCAUUCAGACUUUCAUCCACUAUCUCGAAUGCACCGGCCUGCAAGUAAGGCUUCGCCUGCAGUUCCAAAUCAAAGACAAAAACAAUAGGCACCCACACCCAUGAAUAUGUUACACGUAUGUAGUUAGACUCUUUUGUUCUGAAUUUGAACAUACAUUUUUAUCCCAUUCCAGGAUUCUAUAUUAUAAAAAAUAGUACUGAACACUAUUAUAGCAACUUGUGCUUUUUCUGUCUGAUUAAUAGAAGACAGUAAAACAAACAUCAUCUUAUACAAUAUUAUCUUUGCAUAGAAUAGCAACCAAAUGUGAGAAGUUGGGUAAUAUUGAAAAGUAAAGAAGGCAGUAGGAGUUACCCAUAACACCAAAUUAAAAGAAUCUGGAGUUCCAGAGUGACUUAAUGGCUCUCGCCCACAAAUAAGCUCUAGAAGGACAACUCCAAAGCUGUAGAUAUCACUUUUCUCUGUCAGCUGCUGGGUGGAAUAAUACCUGAAAUCAGAUUAACAAAUCAGUGCUGACAAGUUAAUCAAAUAAUAAGCCGAGUGAAUUUAUUCGAGAUUUACUCAGGAUCAAGAUAGCCUGCAGUGCCCUUAACAACAGUAGUGACAUGACUUGCGUCUGCCUGUGUCACUUGCUUCGAGAGGCCAAAGUCAGAGACCUUAGCAUUCAUCUCCUUGUCUAAUAGGAUGUUACCGCACUUCACAUCACGGUGUAUGAUUCUUGGUUCGCUUCCAUUGUGCAAGUAGUCCAAUCCUUUAAAAGAAUCAGGUCAAAAAAUGAGCCACCAUUGAUCUCUGACACAGUAACAAUGCCAUGCUAUAUAUAGGAAGAAGAGAUUUCUGUACUGAAAAUAGACUUGGAUGUUGCAUGAGGUGAUAAAUUAAACAAGCCAAGUCAAGCAAAAAUUAAACAAGAAAAACGCAAAGUUUACAUAGUUUGUUCAAGGUAAUUUACCCAUGAGAGAAAUAAAUUCAUGUUUACUAUCAAAAAUUUUAAAAAUUACAAUGCAGUUUUUCUUUUCAAACACAAGUUGUGGGACACUCAAACCUCACCAAGUAAUCAAGAAAUUCAUCUUUUAGGAUGAAAUUAUACACGAGGUGUGUCAUGCAGGAAAAGAUUCUGAAGGAGGCCAUACCAUAUGCAGAAAGAUCCUAUUUGCUCAUAUUUAAUCUUGUUAAAUUUAGUUUUACAUAUGCAUCUGUUUUUUUGUAAGACUGACCCGAAGGAUUGAGACAUACCUUUCGCAGCAUCAACAGCAAUUUUUAGUCUUCGAACCCAGCUCAAUGAGGUUUUUUUACUGCUAGGACCUGAAAGAAUCAUUGUAACAUAGAGAAACAGGUAUGUCUGAAAUGGAAACAAAAUUUAACAAAGAAUAAAUUUCUAAGUUCUGUGGUUUCUGCCUAACUUACCAUAUAGGUGAUCAGCUAGUGAUCCACCAGGUAGAUACUCGUAGACUAGUAUUUGUUGCUUCGAUUCAUAGCAAAACCCUUCAAAACUGACAAGAUUCUGAUGAUGGAUUUUGGAGAGGAGAUGCACCUAGAAACAACCCAAGACAUGGAAAACUAAGGUAAAUGAGCAAUGACAUUGAAAUUUAAGAAGUGCAAAGGAAAUCAUGUGACUUUAAGGUUAUUGUGGCAUCAAAUCUAACCUCAUUAAUAAAAGAAUCAGCCCCAAGUUGAGUUUUAUCGAAGCGAACUUUAACAGCUACUAGUCUUCCAUCUUGUAGCUUCCCAAGAUAAACAGAUCCAAAGCUACCAUGGCCUAUGACCUCCUUAAAGUUAUUUGUAGCUGUUUUGAUUUCUUUGUAAGAAAAGACUCUUGCUACAUUCCAGUUUCUGACCUCUGCUGAUGGCCCUGCACAUCAAGGUAUUGCUAUAGCUUAUAAGAUUGUCUCUACUAAACUUUCAUUAGAAUUACAAUUCGAAGUUCUGUGUACUUGGAGUGUAUGUCAAGCCAGUUCUCUUUUUUCUCGUGUAGAGAAAUAGUGUGAGAGAAAGGAAGAUAAGACCAAAUAAGGCUCCUCCAAUCACACCAAAUAUGAUUGCUAAAUGAUAAUGACUAUCAGUAUGUUUCUUGUCGGUUAAGAUAGUGACUUGAGGUGUCUCAAUUGAAGGAUUAGAUGAAACAUCAUCGCAUGCCAAGGUGGAGAAGGAAAGACAUAGAUUCCCUGAUGUUCUGCAGAAAACAAAUGCACAAGUAUGCAAAAAAUAAAUAAAUAAAUAGACAAAGAUUAAGGAUUAUAAUUAACAAAUUAGACUAUUAAUGUAAUACCUAACUUCCAAACUCUCUCUGUUCAAUGACACUGGUAGAGAACCUUGCAGUUUAUUGUUUUCCAGGUUUCUGAGGAACAUAGAAUUCAAAUUUUAAUCCAGCAGAGGACAUAGUGAAAAAUUCCAAAGUCUAGUACUUACAACAAGUGAAGGUUAUCUAACUCUCCCAAGCUGUCAGGGACUAUUCCCUGCAAACUGUUGUUUUGCAGAUCCCUCCAUGCAGGGGAAAGGAAUAGAAAAACAAAACAUUGUUAGUUCACCUUUGUGAUCAAUGAAUUACAAAUAUAUUUUGCAUUGGAGUAAAAUGUAUUGCCAUUUGAGAUGUAAAGGCUCCAAAGAGUUUCAUGAGAAGAGAAAUCAACAAAAUCUUAAAGGGGUAAAUUCUGGGGAGAGAACGCAACAGCUUACAGAAUUUGAAGGCUAACCAGGGGGGUCCAAAUCAGACCCAAAGGAUGUUAGCUCAUUGAAGCUCAGAUUCCUGAAAAUUAGCUAAGCAUUAUUUGUCUAAUUCAUGAACAACAAGAAUUCCCCUAUGAAUACUCUAUCGUGAAGAAAUUACAGUUUCUCAAGAUGUUGCAAGCUAACCAAAUUUUGUAUCUCUCCUGUAAGUGAAGUGUUAUGCAAGUCCCUGCAGCAUAACAUCAUCUGGCGUAAAUACAUAAAAGGGAAAAUUCAUGUUGAGACAGAAUAUUAGUAUAAAAGUUGUGUUGAUAAGUGCCUCACAGUGCUCUAAGAUCUAGCAAGUCACCAAACGUAGGACUAAUAGACCUCAAGUUGAUCCCUGAAAGCUCUCUGUGGAAAAAAAAAAUUGAUAAGCCUGCGCCAAUAGAUCUCUAAUGAAAGAUGGAACAGCAAUAUCAGCGGAUUGGAUUAUUAGAAUUCACAUACAAUGAUGUGACUAUGCUUCCUUCACAUCCAAUGUGAUUCCAUUGAAAAGGAGAGCAUGGAUCCUCUUGCCAUCCCAGAUCUAAACCAGUUGACUGCUCAAUAACUUGAAGCGCUGAAACUGCAAGAGCAGUUAACAGAAUAUCAUCAUUAAAUAUUCUGUUGUAGCCAGUACAAAGACAACAAUCAGAGGGCGAACAACCAAAAGGGAUUGACACCUGUAGUUGAGGAGACUUCUGAUGGAAUAUCAACAAUUUCAUACACCUCAAUUGCAUUGAUUUGGGGGGUGAAUCUGAUGCUUUUCAGAGUGAUGUUCAAGCUCCAGAUUCCCUUCUCCACAAAAUAUAGAGCACUGGCUUCUGAGUUUUGGACUGCAUAAUUUGAUUGUCUGACAUCCCCAUUGAUUAUGACAUCAAAAGAAGGGGAUAUAGGAAGAAUCCCAGCAAAAUAGAGGACAAUGUAAUAGUCCCCUUCAGUAUUAAGAGGAAGUUCAUAGCUUAAGACAUCUUUUCGUGCAAGGACUCUUGCUGUUUGCAGAACAGAAGCAGGAGGACUUUCACUAAGAUUUGACUCGCUGAAGCUCGAAAAAAUGUUGAUUCCAGUUGACACAUGAAAGGGAGAAUAGCUUUGAUCAGCAUCCCAGAUGCGAUCAAAGGGAUCAACAGGGUACCUAUGUCAACCAUAGAAAAAGCUGAAAAUGAAACCAGAUCUCAAAACCAAAGAUGAAGGUACCAUGAAAAUUGCAAGAUUUUACCGCAGAGAGCCAUUCAUGUAGCCACUAUUAAUACGAUAACACUUCCUCAGAGACUUGUCAGGGUAAUAAUCUUCCAUGGCAGUUUGGUAAGCACCUCGAGGGAGUGGCCGAAUUUCAAGUGAUGAAAUGACCGGAGCUCCAUGGGUUGGAAUAUUAUGCAAACAGAAGGAAAGAGUGUCCGUAGUAACUGGCCAGAUAAACUCUUCGGUCCAUGGAUCAUUCGUAGCAAGAGUUACAUUGCUAGUAAUGGCUGUACCAAGAGAGACAUAGAAUGCUGGAGGUUCUUCCAGUCCAUCAUAGUUCUUGUACACAAAUUUUGCCCUUACAAGAACCAGUGAUGACACAUUCAUCAAUGGCAAUUUAUAACAUUUUCGACCUUGAUCAGAAUCCGGGAAGAAACGAACUGGGACACCAUCAGAGGAGGCACCCUCUGUGUAAUCAAUGGUAGUUGUUUUGCCUGUGCUUAUGUAUGCAGCAUCUGAUACCCAGGAGAUGUUAGAUGAAUCAACAAAACUUGUCGCUCCACCACAGGAUAAGCUCAAGUAACCUGUCUCACCAUCAAACACGCACAACUAAAUUAGCAAGAGCACACUCAAAACAACUGUCCUCUACUUGUUUUCUUAGUGGAACAAGAACAAAAGAUCAAGAAAUUAGAGAAAUGAUCAAAAUAAAUAAAGCCUUGCAGUUCGUUUUCUAACUGGAAAUUUAUCAAAUACAUUGAUGUCUUGGUUGCAUUUCUAUUAGCAAUAUAGAGCCUAAAAGCAAUCAACAUUUGGUCAUAUUGCAUUAAAAAAGACAAUCAGAGAGGACGAACAAAUAGAGAAAUCAGUCAGAAGAAAGAAAUUAUACCAUCUGGAUCACAGAAAGCAACAACCCAGAAACUGAAAAAGAGAUUAACACAGACCCAGAAGGAGUUUAGGGCCAUAGAAUCAAUCCGACCCCUCAACAAAACCUGGCUGCUAGAAAUAGAUAUCUAGUUCCUUGAUACACCAAAAAGACAGAGAGCUAUAUUUACUUGAAAGAAACAAAAAAUGUGAACCUUAGGAUAAAUACUGGAAGAGCCAAGUAGUGGGAUUGAGGAGACAUGGGCUAUAAUUAAAGUUGGCGUGAUUAGAGGUACUCAUUAUUACGGCUUCAUUUGUUUUAGCUAUGAUUGUCUGCUAAUUAUAUAAUACUGCUUACCACUUGCACUACUAGUUUUGUGAUUCUUAAAACCAGACUGUCGAAGAUAUUAACGUUGGCUAACCAAGAUAUUAACGUUACUAUCUAAACGAAACCGAUGAUUGCUCCCCACAANNNNNNNNNNNNNNNNNNNNNNNNNNNNNNNNNNNNNNNNNNNNNNNNNNNNNNNNNNNNNNNNNNNNNNNNNNNNNNNNNNNNNNNNNNNNNNNNNNNNNNNNNNNNNNNNNNNNNNNNNNNNNNNNNNNNNNNNNNNNNNNNNNNNNNNNNNNNNNNNNNNNNNNNNNNNNNNNNNNNNNNNNNNNNNNNNNNNNNNNNNNNNNNNNNNNNNNNNNNNNNNNNNNNNNNNNNNNNNNNNNNNNNUCAAAUUCAAGCAAAAGACAGGAACGAGAGUCUCAUCAGCCCAUUAAAGAACGGAACUAAGCAAGCACCUGCACCAGAAAGCUCAGCCCCUAUCUCGAAAGCCAAAACAGAAUGAGCAGUCGAUUUCGAGAGCUCGACCGGCAAUGACCUUGUUCAGAAGGAAAAAAAAAAAAAAAAAAAAAAAAAAGAUUGAUGAGAUUAUGGAAGUACCAGAUAAAGCUAUAUAAAAAGCAUAACUCGAUGAAGUCGAAGUCGUGGCUAUCUCAGAUGAUUCAUGAAUCUUCUGUUUAAAUUCGUUCUCGUGACGAGCCAUUUGAGGGCCGCUGUAUGGCCUCUUACUGAAACUUGUCGGAUUAUCAACAAAGGUCGAUAUGUCCGAGUGGUUAAGGAGACAGACUUGAAAUCUGUUGGGCUUCGCCCGCGCAGGUUCGAACCCUGCUGUCGACGAAAUAUUUUUUGCUCAAUAUUCUCUGAUGCUGGGCUGCUAUUCUUAAUUGCCCUUCAGUACUAACGACUCUGUCCAAAACGAACCGAUAAUUGAAUUAAAAAAAAAAAAAAUUGUUUGUUUAUACGAAGAAAUGGGCUUGGGCUUGGGCUUGGGCUUGGGCUUGUGAGAAUUGGAUAUGUAGGCCAAAAUGGGCUUGGUCUAGAUGUUUAAACAAGUGAUCAAGUGAAUGGAUUGAAUUUGAACAACUAUGUAUUUUUAUUGUUUUGUAUAUAGAGAUGUAUGUAUUUAAAAGGUGAAAACUGAAAAUGAUUCUCUACAACUAACAGAACCUGAGAUUUCCAAAAUUUAGAAGUGGAUUUUCCAGAAUUUAAAAGUCAAAAGUCUAAAAAUCUACCAAAGAACUCUGAAAUUCCUUCUCCUUUUUUAUUAUACAGCAAAAUUUAAAAAGUUACACUACCUAUCUUCUUUUAACCCAUCUAGAAUUUAUAUGAAUAACAAACACUAUUGUUCAAGAAAAUAUAAUAAAAGCAAUCACUAAUAUCAAAUCGUAAUUCUAGAGAACCAUCCUGCUACACAACAGAAUCUUGAGAGUGAGAAAAUACUGCUGGCAGCAAUACAAUAUAUCUUAAAUUUAACAAAACCAGAUAACAAAUUGUGUCUUGAAAAAUUUUUCAACUUUAUGGUCUACAAUGGAAAUAACAACUUUCGUCAAACACAAUACUCAAAAUUGUAAGCUGCAACCUACUGAUAAAAAACCACAUCAAUAUUUAACAGCUGCAAGAAUGUCCAACUGUGAGCCAAGCUUCUCCUCUGCAGCUUUCUCAGCCUUCAGCCUAAGUUUGUUCAACUGUUUCUUCCUCUCAUAAACCACUUGAGACCUCUCCUUUCUCUUCUUUUCAAGCUCCUGCACACAACACAGUAAAUGGAAGACAUAAAUUACAAAAAGAAUUACAAGCUAUGCUGUAUGCAAUCUUGUUUACUAUUAAGCAUACUUGGAUAAGAUCACAUAAAACCCUAAGAAAAGUAAUCUAAGUCUACGCAUAAAAUAAACUCAAGAAACUUCAUUUCGUUGCUAGAGCCAAUACUCUGACAUGACAUUAGAGAUAUCCCAUUUGUCUUUAUCAAACUACAGCUAGACACUUCCUUCAACAGCCUAACAUAGUUAGUAGAAACUCAGCAUGCUGUGCCUCUUAAACACCCAUUUUACUGUUAGUGAGGACAGAAAAACCAUUAGCCAUCCUACAAACAGAUUAUUAAGGAAACAAAGAAAUUGAUGUACCAGAAGACUGGUAGCACUGUACAAAAACAAAGAGUUGCAGGGGUUGUUUAAUACUGGCCAUAUUUAUUUAUGCUUCGGAAGGAUGAACAUCAUCUACUUUCAGGUUAAGAGAGUUCACCAGUGAGAAGCAAUAAAUGGGAGAGGCACACAAUUUGCAAAGCAUUUUUAGAAGUCUUUGAAAAGAGAUGAUCAUUGGUCAUAAAGCUGCACUACAUAACAUAUGAAUGGUUCUAUCGAAGGGACUUCAAUCGGACUUAACAAGAAUCAUGGUAACCUAUGCAGAACCGUAAAGAUGAUAAAAAAUGACUUUUUAAUUCUAGUAAAACAGAAUUAAAAAAAUGGAGAAGAUGCUCCGAUACAAAGAACAGGAAUGGACAGAAUCAAACUGUAGAACAAAAACCUUCAUGGAACCAAAUUGCACAGAAAGUUAAGCAUGGAAAACAGAGAAAAUGAC